CAGCCCAAAGAGGCCCUUCUCCCAACGGUCCGCCCAAGCCAAAACCGGGCUGACCCACCAAAUGACCCACCUGUUUCUUUCGUAAUAUAAAAACCUUCUUAUAAUUCUCCCCCAAAUUCCCUAAACCUAAUGCAUCAGAGAAUGCAGCGCCCCUUUACAUUGUUCAUCUUCUUCUUCAACCGAUUGCCUCAACUCGCCUUCAACUCACCCAAGUUUGCUCAAAUUAGUCCCCCCUCCACGUCAUUUGAUUCCUAACGGGUUUUGUCAGAAGGAAUUCAAAUAUUCUCUUCUAAAUUGUGGAUUUCUGUACAAAAAAAGCACAAUUGCUGGACGGAUGGGAGCCGUAGAUAGAUGUAUAUCAAUCAACGCCCUCCAUUUGUCCCAAAAUUAUUCAAAAGGACAGAAAUAUCUUCAGAAUGUUAGAGUAAAGUUUCUAGGGUUUUUUGAGACUUUUACUCCUUAAUCUAGAUUAUGCUUUCUUGAGAAAACGAAAAAGUAUAUAUGUAAAAUUGUCUGAGUUUUGUGUUCUUCAUUCGAGCUUCAUUUUCAAAAGAAAUUGGAGAAAGCACAAAAACAUUUUCAGCAUUUUUUUUGUUGAUUAUGGGAUCUCAAUAAUGAGUUUGGAUUAAGUUGAUUUCUGGUUUUCAAAGCCGUGGAUUUGCCGUUGAUUUCUGUUGACUUUUACUGUUGAUUUUGCAUUGGCUGAGCUCGAUUCAUAUUUCUCUGCCUUUAUUUGGUUGCUGCAAUUUCCUUUCAAGCAUUAGGGAUCUAUUUCUCUUCUGUGCGUUUAGCUAUAACCAGGUAUUGCGUUUGGCCUGGAAAAUGUGAAUACUAUAUUUGUUUAUUCUUGCUUUUCGUGAAAGGAAAUAAAUUUUCUGUUUGUGACAUAUACGUUUAAAAUCUCUUGCGUCACCUGUCAUUAGUCAAAAUUUGAUGAAGCUUGAUUCUAGUAUGGGAAAAUUUAAGCAUUUCUUUGGUAAAGAUUUUUUUUUGUGGAGAAAAUAAGACAUCUUUAUUUUAAGUGUUACUGUGGCUUCAUCUUUAUUUCUUUGGUAUAAUAUGUAAAAAUAUUAAACUAGGCUAAAUAAAAAAAAUCAAGUGAAGAAUCCGUUUUUUGCACAGUUCUGGAAAAGAACUAAAACAUCGUCAAGUUGUUGAGCAACGUCUUUCUUCUUCAUCUUAUUUGUGGUGUUGUUUGGAUUUUCACCAUAUGUAAUAAUGGCCUCACUAAUGGUUUCUCCGGCUUUAGCCACUGGAUCCUUUGCUACGAAUUGUUCUUUUUUUGUAAUGAUAACUAGGCGUAUAGGUUUUAAAUUUUUCUUUUUCUUUUUUUAAAAUACUUGGUUCUUAUGCCCGGAUGAGUGAAUCAUGUAAAGGAAAAGCGAAUUUGUUGUGUUUGGGUUAGAAUCUAUACUCUAGUACUGAAAAUUGGAUUGUAAUCACUAUAGAGAUAUCCAUGUAUUAAAUUCUAGAUUCAGAAUAGAAUACUCUUGUUUUCUUUCUUAAUUGAUUGUCUGUUGUCAUUUUCUCGGUAAUUGUUGCAGAAUAUCAUAUUAGACUUCGUUUGUGCUUUCAACAUAUCUUUGGGAUAAGCAAAUGUUGGAAUUAUAAUUCAUUUUGAUAUUGGUCUAUAUUUUUGUAUGCCAUCUCAUAUACGUUCGUGUUUCAUACAUGAGUUUGUAGAGGAAGAGUUGAACCGAUGCUAUUUCUUGCACAAAAUAAGUCCAUAAUUGAUUACCUUCACAUCCAUCCCAAACUUAAAAAAAAAUUAAAUAAUGAUAUUACUCGUAUUUUUACAUUAGACGGGAUUUAGAUUAAUAUUAUAACUAUGUAUAUGUUUGCAUAACAUAAUUGCAAUUUAACUCUAAAAUGACUCGAGGGAUGUGUUCGCGCAACUUCAACUAAACUUUCUUAAUAAGUCAACAAAAGCAUUAUCAAUUGUGGACACGUUUACGUGACAUGAUUUUGACGCGUCAAAAGUAACGAGUAAACGUACGCGUAACUCAAUUCUUUAAUUGCAAAUGAUUCAAGUAAUUAAAAUCGGUAAAAGAUAAUUGCACAUAGGUCCUAAAAAUUAGUAGUUGAACAAUUAAGUCUAGUGACAAUCACUAAGCGACCAUGCUAGAACCACAGAACCAGAGUUCGAGCAGUAGAACCAACGGUAGAGCCUCAGGUAGAGUUUGAUAAAGAGGCUCCAGCCCAGACUGUUUUAGCAGGGCCAACUCAGGUUACAGAGGGGUUCAUCGCUACCCUGGUGCUUUAGGAUGCUUUGGUCCAUCUAGUGGGCCUUAUGGAGAGUGUUUCUCGCGCCAGCACAUUUCCUGUAGCACCAGCCGUCUCUCAGGUUGGGGGAGGAGCCCAAACUUCUGCUACCCACACUCCGGAGCAGAUGGCUCCUCAGUUUCAAACUCCAGCAGCUCAGUCCAUUGGGGUAGUUCCUCCGGGUGUUGCAGCAUAAACAGGGGAUGAAUCAGCUAUGUCUUCUCAAGCUUUAUGGAGAUUGGAUAGGUUUACCAAACUUUUCACCACUACCUAUGGCGGUAUAUCUUCAGAGAAUACCCAGGACUAUCUAGAAAGUUGUCAUGAGGUAUUACAAAACAUAGGGAUAAUGGAGACCAAUGACGUCGACAUUGCUACUUUUCGUCAAUCAGAUUUUGCCAAGAAAUGCCGGAGGGAUUUUUUUCAUGCCAAACCAGUUGGGUAGCCGACUCUCACUUGGGGCCAGUUCUCUCAGCUAUUUCUAGAUAAGUAUCUUUCUAUCACUCAGAGAGAGGACUAUCAGAGGUAGUUCGAGUUUCUAUGACUGUCACUCAGUACGAGGCUAGAUUUGUUUAUUUGGCCCAUCAUGCUCUUCUUAUACUUCCUAGAGAGAGAGAGAGAGAGGGAAAGAGAGAGGGGGGGGGGGGGGGGGGGUUUUUUUGGGGGUUUUUNNNNNNNNNNNNNNNNNNNNNNNNNNNNNNNNNNNNNNNNNNNNNNNNNNNNNNNNNNNNNNNNNNNNNNNNNNNNNNNNNNNNNNNNNNNNNNNNNNNNNNNNNNNNNNNNNNNNNNNNNNNNNNNNNNNNNNNNNNNNNNNNNNNNNNNNNNNNNNNNNNNNNNNNNNNNNNNNNNNNNNNNNNNNNNNNNNNNNNNNNNNNNNNNNNNNNNNNNNNNNNNNNNNNNNNNNNNNNNNNNNNNNNNNNNNNNNNNNNNNNNNNNNNNNNNNNNNNNNNNNNNNNNNNNNNNNNNNNNNNNNNNNNNNNNNNNNNNNNNNNNNNNNNNNNNNNNNNNNNNNNNNNNNNNNNNNNNNNNNNNNNNNNNNNNNNNNNNNNNNNNNNNNNNNNNNNNNNNNNNNNNNNNNNNNNNNNNNNNNNNNNNNNNNNNNNNNNNAGAGAGAGAGAGGGAAAGAGAGAGGGGGGGGGGUAAGGGGGUUUAUUGAGGGAUUUUCUCUGCCUAUCCGAUUGCAGAUGGCUAAAGAGACAUGGAGUGAGAUUUAUUUCCACGAUGCAGCUAAUGUGGCCAGACGAGUUGAAACAGUUUUAGCUCAGGGAGUAGUCGGGAGUCUAACAAGAGGCCUUGUCACUCCGGUAGAUCAGUGGUACCUCACUAGGAGGCCACGGUACUUUUGGUAGGGACCAUCCUCCCAGGCCAUUUCAAUCAGCACUUCAGACAUUUUGUGGAGCUUUAGGGAGUCAUGCUCCUUAUAUACCUCCUUUAGGGUAGCCAGCUUAUAGUGCAUCACCAGCUCCUAUAAGAGUACCUCCUCUUUAGAGUUAUUAUCGCGGUCAGUCGGUCCGUUAGGGUCAGUGUCAGUUUACAUAGUCGUAGUUUCAGGAUGUAUAUUUCGAGUGUUGUGAGUAUGUGCAUAUCUGGAGGACCAGUCUGUGAUUAGUUGGUGUUCAGUUGCAGCAGCAGGGUUCUCGUACCAUGAUUCUCGCACCGCCCACUCAUCCAGCUAGAGGUAGAGGUCAGCCCACUAGAGGUAAAGGUCAUGCCUCUAGAGAUGGAGGCUAGCCAGUAGGAGGCCUUCCCAGGGAUAUGGUUCAAAGCGGUGUGGCCCAACCCCGAUGUUAUGCUUUUCCAGCCAGGCCUAAAGCUGAGUCAUCCGAUAGUUUUAUCACUAGUAGUAGUACUAUUUUUGUUUGUAGUAGAGAUGCUUCAGUUCUAUUUGAUCCAUGGUCUACAUACUUCUAUGUGUCAUCUUAUUUUGCUUCAUAUUUGGUUGUGCCUUGUGAUUCUUUGACUGCUCUCAUGUAUGUGUUCACAUUGGUGGGGCAUUCUAUUGUUAUAGAUCAUGCCUAUCCUUCAUGUGUGGUUAUUAUUGGGGGUCUUGAGACUAGUUUAGACCUUAUACUUUUCAACAUGGUUGAUUUUGAUGUUAUUUUGAGGAUGGAUUUACUGUCACCUUAUCAUGCUAUAUUGGACUGUCGAGUCAAGUUUGUGACCUUAGUGUUGUCGAGGUUGCCUAGACUAGAGUGGAGAGGGACUCUUGAUCAUUCUACCAGCAGGGUUAUCUCUUAUAUGAAGGCUCACCAUAUUGUCGAGAAGUGGUGUUUGGCUUAUUUGGCUUAUGUUCGUGAUUCUAUUGCAGAGGUCCCUUAGAUGAAUUCUGUACCAAGUGUUUGGGAGUUCCGGAGGUACUCCUAUAGACCCACCGAAGAUGCUUCCUGACAUGGAUAUUGACUUUAGCAUUGAUUUGGCUCCGCACACUCAACCCCUUUCUAUUCCGCUAUACUGCAUGGCAUUGCGAUAGUAUAAAGAAUUGAAGGAGAAGUUGCGAGAUUUGCUUUAUAAGGGAUUUAUAUACCUAGUGUUUCACCUUUGGAUGCACCAGUGUUGUUUGUAAGCAAGAAGGAUGGUUCGAUAAGGAUAUGCAUAGACUAUCGGCAGUUUCAGAAAAUCACCAUAAAAAACAAAUAUCCAUUGCCCAGGAUUAAUGACUUAGUUGAUCAGUUUCAGGGUGCUAAGGCGUUCUCAAGGAUCGAUUUGAGGUCUAACUGCCAUCUGUUGAUGAUUAGGACAUUUGAUGUCUUUAAGAUAGCUUUUUAGAACUCGGUAUGAGCCUUAUAAGUUUCUAGUGAUGUCAUUGGGGCUGACGAAUGCCACAUCAACAUUCACGGAUUUGAUGAACCAGGUGUUUAAGCCUAUAUGGAUUACUUUGUGAUUUUUUAAUUGAUGAUAUCUUGAUCUACUCCCGCAGCCGAGAGAAGCAUGAUCAAAAUAUUUGGAUCGUUCUUCAGACUCUGGGAGGCAGUCAGUUAUAUGCUAAGUUUUCGAAAUGUGUUUUGGUUGAGUUCAGUUGCUUUCUUGCGUCGUAUCAAUAGAGGGUAUUGUGAGGGAUCCUAAGAAGAUUGAGGCUGUUCAAAAUUGUCCUAGACCUACUUUAGCGACAGAGAUCCGUAGUUUCUUGGAUUAGCAUGUUAUUUUCGUCGGUUUGUGGAGGGGUUUUUAUCUAUAGUAGCCCCAUUGACUAGGUUUACUUAGAUGGGUGCUCCGUUCAGAUGGUCGAACGAGUGUGAGGCAAACUUUUAAGAUCUCAAGAGUGCUUUAACUAUGGAGGCGAUGUUGGUGUUGCCCAUAAUUUCGGCAGCUGAAGGUUUAUAAGAAGAAUUAUCAUGUUCCUGGCCUCGAAUUGGCAGCCAUUAUUCACUCGCUGAAGAUUUAGAGGCACUAUUUUUAUGGCGUGUCGUGUGAGGUAUUCACAGAUCAUAUGAGUUUUCAGUAUAUGUUCAAGUAGAAGGAGCUUAAUUUGAUGCAGAGAAGGUGGUUGGAGCUAUUGAAAGACUAUGAUAUCACCAUCUUGUAUCAUCCUGGGAAGGCUAAUGUGGUUGCCGAUGCUUUGAGUAGGAAGUUAGCAAGUAUGGGAAGCCUUGCGUAUAUUCAGUCGAUAAGAGAUCGUUUGCAUUAGAUGUUCAGGCCUUAGCCAAUCGGUUCAUGAGGUUGGAUGUUUCUUAGCCCAGUCGUGGUUUAGCUUACACAGUUGCUUGAUCUUCCUUGUUUGAGUGUAUCAAGGAUCGACAAUAUGAUGACCCUCAUUUGCUUGUCCUCAGGGACACAAUGCAGCACGCUGAGGCCAAGCAGGUUACAGUUAGAGAUGAUAGUGUUUUGAGAAUGCAUGGUCGUGUUUGUGUGCCUAAUGUGGAUGGACUUCAUGAGUUAAUUCUAAAGGAGGCCCAUAGUUCCCGGUAUUCUAUUCAUCCGGGCGCCUCCAAAAUGUAUCAGGACUUGCGGAAGUAUUAAUGAAGGAAGAGAAUGAAGAAGGAUAUAGUUGUACAUGUAGCUCGUUAUCUCAACUAUCGGCAAGUAAAGUACGAGCAUUAGAGGCCUAGUGGUUUUCUUGAGAAGAAAGAGAUUCUCGAGUGGAAGUAGGAUCGUAUCAGUAUGAUGUCAUUGUUGACUCCCACAAACUCAGAGGAAUUUCGAUGCGGUUUUGGUUAUUGUAGGUAGUCUAACAAAGUCAAUGCAUUUCAUUCAUGUGGAAAUUUCCUAUUCUUCAGAGCGGUUGACCGAGAUUUAUAUUCAUACUGUGCCCAUGCCUAUCAUUUCUGAUUGAGGUACACAGUUUACCUCGCAUUUCUAGAGGGCAGUACAACAUGAGUUGGGAAUGUGGGUUGAGUUGAGCAAAACAUUUCAUCCUCAGACGGAGUGACUGUCCGAGCGUACUAUUUUGAUCUUGGAGGAUAUGCUCCACGCAAGGGUUCUUGACUUCUUGGGAUCAGUUAUUGCCAUUAGCAGAGUUUGCCUACAAUAACAACUAUCAGUUGAGCAACCAGAUGGCUCCCUACAAUGCUUUAUAUGGUAGACGGUGUCGAUCGUCGGUUUCGUGGUUUGAGCCGGGGGAUGCUUGGUUAUUGGGUACAAAUUUAGUGUAGUAAGCCUUGGAUAAGGUUAAGAUCAUUUAAGUUAGACUUUGUACAGUUCAAUCUUGGCAGAAGAGUUAUGUCGAUCAUAAAGUUCGUGAUGUGGCAUUAAUAGUCGUAGAGAGAGUGUUUCUUUGGGUGUCACUCAGGGUGUGAUGCGGUUUAGGAAGAAGGGCAAGUUAAGCCCUAGGUUUAUUUGGCCUUUUGAGAUUCUUAAUUGAGUGGGAGAGGUGGCCAACAGACGUACGUUGCCCCUAGGUUUAUCAGCAGUACAUCUAGUGUUUCAUGUGUACAUGCUUUAGAAGUGUCACGAAGAUCCAUCCCACGUGUUAGAUCCAGCACUAUACUCUUUUACUGCUUGUCCUAUAUGUAUAAAUCUAAGUCCUUUAAUGCUUCCUCAUUACUAUUCAUCUUAAUAGUGACGGUCUAAUCUCAUCUCAUACUUUGACUUUUAUCCAUACAUUGGUGAUUCACCUUAAUGUUGAUCUAUAAUCACUGAUAACUUGAAACCUCUUACGUAGUACAUUAUCGCUAGGGCUCACGUCUCAUCGUGGAAUAUCUGUAGUGAUUUCUCCAAUAUACCAAGGGACAGUACUAUACUUCCAUAACCGUAUAUCAUAACAUCCUAAUAUGAUUCAUCUUAUGAGGGUAUUUCAAUCCUGUGCAAUUCAUAAAAUCCCUUCUCUUUAAAUUAUUCCUCAAUCAAAGUCCUGAAUAUCAUCCUCUUACCUAUCACAAUUAAACCCUUAUUCUACCACUAGGGAAUCAUUUCAUCUCGUCUAAUUGCUCCUAGUCUUAGACUCACCUAUAUUAAUUCAAGUUAUACUGAGCUUUCUAUAACAUACAUAAACCAUUAGUUCUAUCGUUUGAUGGACUUAAUACACAGGUCUUACCUAUUUUUGUCAGCUCCUAACUCACCUUUUCUUAUCCUUACUCCCAUAUACCUAAAGUCUUGUCACUGCGCCAUAUUUUAGCUUGCGACCUACAUAUAUCUAUUUGUACUAUUGACAUCCUUCCUUUAAAUUUCUAGCACCACAUAUUUCCUUUUUUGCCUUCUCAGUUGUCUUUAAAUAUAAGCAAUUACUUUUUUUGAUCGUUCUGCAACUUGCUGCAUGGAUACUUGGCUUAUCAUAGUGCCCCCGAACACUGGAAUUCCCUGUAGCUUGUAUUCUCUCAUAUAUCACCUUUGAUAUUUUUUUUCUGUUCAUUAGCCACAAUAGGUGCCACUUUGUUAUGGAGUGCAUACAAUAUUGUAGUGAGAUUGUUGUUACAAGAUCUUUUCCUUUUUAGGUCACUAUGCUUAGGUGAAAACCUUCUUCCUUAUUUACUCGGCUAGUCUUUCGCGGUAGUACUUAUGAGACCUUUUGGAUCUUGUAAAGUUGUGAUCUUGUUAUACUAUAUACAUGAAGGAAAUUUUUUAUAUUCUUACUCGCCUACAAAUAUCCUACUCACAUAACUUCGUCCCGUUGUGCUCGUAGGAUUACUUCUAAAUUCCGAUUUUGAUUGUCUCCUUAUUGGCACUCUUAAUUAUUCCUGUAAUACUUAUACAAUACAUUUAAAUACCCCAACUCCUCUCUGAGCAUUUCUCAAGGUUUAUGACGUCAUAUCUAUGAGUCUGAAUUCAUUAUAUUAGGAUUCACUAAGUUUAUCUUGCAUGAUCUAUUGACUCGUCUAUAACCUCUUGUUUAUCCAUAACUAGGCUCUUCCGUCAUCAACUCCCAGCUACUCGUUGGCCUAUUCUCACACCAAUGUUUCACGUAAUCUUUCUUUGGUUAUUUCCUUUUUGUUUUAAGUUAUCUAUCAUUCUGGCUCCUUAGGUAUCAACUGUUCGUUUUGCACCUUUUUUAUCAAUAUCAUCGAGCAUAGAACCCUUAUUGCUUCUCCCCGGCAUCAUACAUGCAUAAUGUGUUGGAGUUAUAUUAUAUUUGUAGGACGUGAACAUAUGCAUUCUCAUUCCUUUCACCUUUAUACCACAUGCUUCCUUUUUUAUCCCAUAGUUACCUGAACCAAUAACUCCGAUUUAGUACCAUAUCACACCAUAUUUCUCCCUUUAGUGAUUUAGUACUACGAUGAUCUACCUAUAAAUAUUUUACCUCUUCAUCUUUGGCAUAUUUUCUCAUCAUCAAUGAACCUUAAUCCCCUCAUGGUAACCCUUCUAUACCAGGGAUAACUGAAUUUCUUAUACAUGAAUGUGAUACCUAGUGUCGUUGGCACAAUGUCCCUUAUGGUUAACUUUGCUCAUAGUUCCUACUCUAGGGAAGCAUCUUGUUGAAUAACCUUUAAAGGUUAUACUUCUGUUGUCCAUUUUAUUAUCACCGGCAUGCAAUCUCUAAAAUUCUCAUAAUGGCGACUAUUAUCAAAUCAUUCGAUUCCCAAUUCAUGUUCAGUUUAUCUUGUUCACCAGGCCAUACUUCUUUUUAUUACUCCGGGGUCUUCCUUUUCCUUCCGGUAAUCACGUCGGAGUCACCAACUCAUUUCUCAAAAUAGGGAUAUGGCUUUGUGGCUUAUACACUUUUAUUUCAUCAUGGCCUGUCACCUUUUGUCUUUCCCUUCACUUUACUGUAGACUCUAUCAUCUUGUCAUACUAUUUCUCACACCUUACUUAUAAUAUUUCACUUGUUCACUUCUUAUUCUCCGACUAAUACUUCUAUCUAUCACUUUAUUCUAAAAAAACUUCAACAAAACGUUCUUUCACUUUUAGCUCCUCUUUCUUCAUCUCACUGGCUCUUUGGAAUGCUUAAAACUCUCUCAUUCUCUCUCUCUCUCUCUCUCUCUCUCUCUCUCUCUCUCUUUCUCUGUCUCUCUCUCUCUCUCUCUAGGGGUCGGAGCCAUACUAAGUUAAAUAAUUAUUCCUUUUAGGAUUCCACUGCCUCUCUUCUGAAAUUUCUGAAUAUUCUAGUAUUCAUAUAUGAUUCCACUAUUCUAGAGUUCACCAUCUGCGUGUCUCACAAGGAGAUAUAUUACCCCAUUUGCACUACUCUUCGGAAAUGUUAGCUAAUGAUAAUAAUCCAUCCACAAUUUUUGGUUACUCUAACCCCAACUUGAUCCUGAUAUUACAUUGUUCUCUUAAACUAUAUUUGUCAGUUCCCAUAUGGCAUAAUUGAGAUGUUUGUGGUCAAUUGUAUAUAACUUUGUUACUAUUGAAAGUAACUAAGAAUAAUUAUAUUUCUCUACCUGAAUUGCAAAUACUGAUAACCUUCAUUAUCUGUGUACCUCGUACUUCUUUUUUUUCAUGUUAUUUCUUUCACUUAUUGAAACUUAUAUCCACCUCCUAAUUCUCUCGUUUCUCUUUACAACAAGAGUGGAUAGAUAUUCAUGCCUCGGGACUCCUUAUCAAGAGGCUCAUAUAUCUUAGUACACACAUGAUCUGCUGAAGACCUAACAUUUACGCAUUAUAAGCAUGAUGCAAAAUCGAGUUCCUCUGAUAAACUCUUCCAUAUCCACAUUUAAUCUCUUACAAACUGUCUUUCUGGAUGUAAACAUUGUCAUAUCAUGAAUAAGAUAGAGUUUAGGAAAUUGAGUUCUUACAACUUAGCUUUACCGCAUGAUCAUGAAUAAGAAGAAAGAGUGACAAUCCUAACUGCCCUGUAGCCUACUGCUUAUAAGUGUGGUGCAUUACACACCUAUAAAUAAGGCUCUACUAGACACAGCUUGUAGAUUUCCUAGGACAGAACUACUCUGAUACCACUUUUGUCACGAUCCAAACCGAAGGGCCGCGACAGGCACCCGGUGCCUUACUCAACCGAGUACCAACAUAUCAUAUCUUUCUUAUCAUACUAUCAUGAGUAAAUGAGCCAGGAAACUCGUCAUGGGAUAACAAGAAUAAAAAUAAGGAAAUACUCAACAUAUGAUGGCCCAACAUGAUGUACAAUCUUAUACAUAUGACAUACGUGCCUAUAAGGCCAACAUGACCAUUUGUAAACUCAAAGCAUAAGCCGACAAGGCUAUACACGUAUCCAUACACAUGGCAUUUAUCUACAAGCCUCUAAGAGUACAUAAAAUCAUUAAAGUCAGGACAGGGCCCCGCCAUACCAAUUAAUAUAUGUACAAAGCAUACUGACCACAAUUCUGGAGCAAGUGGAGUGCACUAACACCUUCUGCUAAGCUGAUAGCCUACUGAGAAGACUCUCAACCUGUCUAUCAGGACCUGCGAGCAUGACACGCAGUAUCCUCAGGAAAACAGGACGUCAAUUCGGAUAAUGUACCGAGUAUGUAAGGCAUGAAACCAUAAACAAGAACUGUAAUGUAAAGAGUGAUAGAGAAGAUAAAACCUGUAAUAUUUGAGUGCUUCUGGGGGAUACUGGCAUGAAAUGCAAAAUACAUAUAUAUACAUAAACUUUUGAAAAUAGCCUGUGUGUGCAUCAUCAUCAUCAUAUCAUCCCGGCCUCAAAGAGGACUCGAUAAAAUCGUACCCCGCCAUCAUAAGGCUCGGUAAAAUCGUACCCGACCACGUGGAGCUCGGUAAACCCAACUGACUAGUAGUUUCACAAUAGGUGUUGUACCCAGCCAACUUUAGCGUGGCUAAGUAGAGUAAAAUAGAUACAUAUAUUUAAUGUAGCUCGACUCACGGAAUCACGUUCUAACCCUUUAAUAGUGAUGUAAGGUCAUUACAUCUUCAAUUAACAUUACGGACAUCCCUACCAUUAAUAUGUACCUUAGUAGGAUAUAAGGAUCAUACACACUUGCUUAGAAUAUCUUUAUAAGAAAACAAUAACAUGGACAACCUUAGUUGCUAGGAGUAGAUUCGUUAUUAAAUAGCAGGUCGUUUGACAUUAAUUUAACAUUCAUGCCAAAAGAAUGAAGGAAGUGCCUUAACAUACCUUGUAUAUUCUUCCCAAUUUCAAGCUAUGCAAUUUCAUGGCUCCUUAGUCUACAAUAAGAGAAAUGACACUCUCGUAAUCGUUUAAGCGUCGUAACUAUUAUGUAUCGACCACAACCUAUUUUACAAUGAAACAGACAACACCUCCCCUAUAUAAAUGACUUCACACAAGUCAAAAUAAUCACAAACAUCCCAUUAUACCUCUAUCACUUCAUACAUAACACGACAACCAUGAUAGUGUCAAACAAUUCAAAAAUGUUAUGAUGAACGACCAGCAAAUAACCUUGCCUUUAUGUGGUGUUUCUCCACACCCUUCCUCCUCUAAACUCAAUACCAGCACGAAACAGCCCAAAAAUAGUCCCACAAGUUCAUCAAGUCAAAAAUAAUUGUUCAGCUUACUUAAACACGUUUCGACUUGUCUUUUCUUUCAAAUUGAGAAAUACGACAAAAAGUAAAUUAUUAUACCUAUUAUCCAAUAAAAAAGCCAUGAAUUCAACUUAAAAAUAAGUUCACAACCAGCCAACCAUUACAUAAGAACAAACAAUAUAUCAUUCUUUUGAAACUAGCUAGGUCUAUUCUUUUCGAUCGAGUGACAACUCUCAAACGCAUAGAUAAUUGAAGGAGAAGCAUAAACUUACUUUUUACUGAUACUGAGUAUAACCCAAGAAACCUAGUUUUUUUUAUCAAAAUAAUUUCCUCAACACAACUAUAAUAAGCCAAAUGAGAAACUAGUAAGCUGUCCGGACGUUUCAGCAUUAGAAUCGCGUCGUAACACAUGGAAUAACCUAGGGUUUUUGUGGAAUUUUUGGGGUGGAGUUGUAGGGAUUUAAUUUGGCUUUAUUGGUCUGAAAGAUAAGUGAAAGAAAUGAGUUUAAUAUCCCUUAAAAGAACCCUCUUGUCCGACUUUGGGGCUUCUAAUUGAAGCCUCUGCUUUUGGCAAGUAGGUGAUGCACCUACUUGUCACCUACUAGCUACGGGGUCUUGUAAAAAUGCGAAUAUCUCUAUACUAUGAGAUCAUAUUGACAAAUGGUUUAAUGAAUUGGAAACUAGACUCAUAUAUCAAUUCAAUAUGUAGAUCAUCCCAUGAUGCAAAGAAUAUUGGGAGAAAAGCUCAGUUAUAUAUUAACCUAAAUUUCAACUCGUUUUUGAAUGUAACUUGUGAUGACCUUUUCCAACUUUUGUUGCACAACUUGCUUGAGUUUAAAACAUAAUACACUACUAUUAUAUGAAUAAAAUAACUUAUAAUAUAACCUCCUCAUCAUGUUAAUCACCCUUGAGUCACCCCUGUGUCACCCAAAAGUAUAUGUUAUAACAUUCCAAACUUGUCGACAUUCGACGAAACUUAUUUUCUUUAAUUCGUUUAGCUUCCAAGCCUUCAAGUCCUAUUGCUACUUGGUAUCAAUGAUUUUAAAUGUUUGUAACCUCCGUGUUAACAUGAUGAACUAACUUUGUAAAUUUUUCAAAGAUGAUUCCAUUUCUGAGCUUACAUUAAUUGUCUUAUGACGUACUCUUACUUACGAAAACAUGGUGUAUAACAACUUUCAUUUUUCUUCUAUGCGAUCGCGUUUUAUUGUUUGCGAUCGCCGUGCUUAGAAGUUAUACCCUAUGCAAUUGUAACCUGUUAUCUGUGGUCGCAUUGUCCAACAAACGUUACCCUAUGCUAUCGCAAUCUCUUAUCCGCAAUCGCGUAGAUCAAAUCUGCCCAGUUGUUUUACUCCUCCAAAUAGAACCCGUUACGGGAUUUUCACAAAACUUCAUAAACCUUGUCUUCUCCAAAGAUCUAGGACGAUUCUUGAAGCUUUCCUUCACCAUAAUAUCUUGGUAAGUAAUCUCCAACUCGUUUUCUUCCAUUUUCAUCAACAUCUAAUGAAUUUCUAGGCCUAAACCAUGUGGAUAAGGGUAGAAAAUUAGGGAUUUGGGUAGAGUUAGGGCAUUUAAAUUAAUUGUGAUUUAGACCUUAUUUUGGGUUCAAACUUUUGAAAUAAUCACAUAUUAGGGUUUGUGAUGAAUAGAUGAUCGGAUUUUAGUUCGAACUUAGUGUUUUGACCAAGUGGGCCAAUGGUCGAUUUUUGGAAUUUUGGGAAGAAUGAUUAGAAAGCUAUAAUUAGGCAUUAGAUUCGAGUUGUUUAGCGUUUAUUGAUGUUAUGAAAUCAUUUAUGUCUAUAUACAAUUGAUUUGGAGCCAAAUUCAAGAGGAAAAAUGUUAACUGAGGAUUGAGUUGGCCGUGAAAGUUUGAGGAAAGUGUUCGGUCUAACCAUAGCUUGAGGGAUUAGGAGUUGAGUCAUAUUUGCUACUUGCUCCUUGUUGAGUCGACGUAUUGGCAUGGUGACGAGUAUCUAUGCAUUAGUGUCAAGCAUGACCGUGAGUCUUAAAUUGAAAGUUUUUUUGGUCUUAAAUGUCAUUUCGAAUGCUUUUACUAAUGAUCUAUUAUAUAGAGAAAAUAUUUAUUUAUCAUCAUAGCUCAUAUUUAUAGUUGAGAAUUUUCAUUAAUUGAGCUGAGUACAAGCUAAGUUAUGGUUGGUUAUAACUGAUUCUCCCUUAUCGGGAUGAUUAUUUUGAUAUUGUUGUCCCUUGCUGGGAGAUUAUUAUAUUGCUUUUGUUCCCUUGCCGGAAAGUUAUUAUAUUGCUUUGUUCCCUUGCCAGUAUUUCUUGUGAUUAUGUGAUGGCAUAGAAAUAGGAGCUGGUUGUAUGCCUACCACAAGAUUGAUGAAAUGGGAGAGGCUGGUAUUCCUAUCACAAGAUUGAUGAAAUAGGAGCAGGUGGUACGACUACCACAAGAUAGAUAAAAUGGGAGCAAGUGGUACGCCUACCACAAGAUUAAUGAAAUGGGAGCGGGUGGUACGCCUACCACAAGAUAUGAUGAACUGAGAGCGGAUGGUACGCCUCCCAUAAGAUAUGAUGAACAGGGAGCGGGUGGUACGCCUACCACAAGUUAUGAGAAAUUGGAUCGGGUUGCACGCCUGCAACAAGAUGAAAUUGAAAGUGAAAGUUGCCUUUAUUACUGUUUAUCCUUGUUAGAAGAUAAAUUAUAGUUUUCGUAUUGUUCUUUGAUAUUCUAUUUUAUCUACUACCCCCAGUAUGUUCCCCUUUCCCAGCUUUAAUUUCUUAUUACCUGUUUACUUUUCUGUCAUAUAUUAUGUAACUGCACAUGUUUAUUUGGAGUCUGGUCCUAGCCUCAUCAUUACCUUGCCUUCGUUAGGCCAGACACUUACCAACACAUAGGGUCGCUUGUGUUGAUGCUACACUCUGCACUUAUCUGUAGAUACUGGAGCAGCGUUUGGGCAACAACAUUAGUUGGGGAGCCAGCCUUCAGUCCACAGAGACACCGAGAUAGCCUUGCAGGAGUCCGCAGGCCCGACGCCUCCUCUAUCUUAUAUUUCAUUCUUUUAUCUCGUGCAUUCGAGACAAACAAUGUUUUAUUUCUUUCAAACGGUUGUAUUUAGCACUCUUAGUAGUCCAUGUAUGUUGUGACACCAGUUCUUGGGUAGAGGCAUAUGUUGAUUUCUGCAGUAUUGUUUAGCAUAUUUAAUUUAAGUCUUCUGCUUUAAUUUCAUAUCCUGUUGUUAUUGAAGUAUUUAACGCUUGAAAGAUUUAAAAUAAAAGAGUUAGGAGUUUAUGAUUUCGUGGCUUUCCUAGCAUUCACGAGUAGGUGCCAUCACAAACCUAAGGGUGGGAAAUUCUGGUCAUGACAGUUGAGUAGAAAAAGGGUGAAUUACUAUUGUAUGGUUAGAUCGGGUUACACGCCGCAACAUGAGGAAUAAGGGUGGAUUGAAACAGAGGAAUAAGGGUAAUUAUUCAUAUUGAUAUUGAUUAUGUGGUGGGAUCAGGAUGCGCGUCGCAUCAGUUAUAUGUUUAUAUACUUUUAUCUUACUGUGUAGGUUAUUCUGUAAUUUAGCUUUUCACUUCUGUAUUGGUUAUAGUUGGGUACUGAUGAGAUAAUGGAGUUAUGUAUUCUUUCCUUGCAAAAUUACUAUUUUAUUUGUUUCGUUCUUAUUUCUAUCUUAUUAGGAACUGUAUGAUAGUCCUAUUGUAACUACCCUGCCAUAGCCUCGUCAUUGCCUUGUCGAGGUUAGGCUCGACACUUACCAGUACAUGGGGUCAUUGUACUGAUACUAUGCACCUUCUGUGCAGACUUUUGGAGCUGGUAGUGGCUGAUCAAGAGGUUAGUUGCAGGUAUUUCAUCUAGGAGACCCAAGGUAGUCCUGCUAGCAUCCGCAGGCCCUGGCGUCUCCUUCUACAUCUCUGUAUUGUUGUUUUUCUUUACUUCCAAAACAAAUAUAAUUUCUUUCAGAAAGAUGCUUAUAGAUAUUUAUAGUAUGUUCGUGGAUUAUAAUACUAGAUUCUAGGUAGUAGUAAUAGUUAUGGUAUUGUUAAUAGUAUAUAGACAAAAGGUUAUUUAUGUAAUUCUAUUUUUAUUUCUACUUGAUUUAGUGUGUUAAUUUUAAUAUAUGAAAGGUACAGGAAAACAGUUAAUACAACUCUAAUGUUAGCUUGCCUACUAAGUGUGAUGUUAGGCACCAUCACGGUCUCGAGGGUGGGUUCCGUGUUGUGAUAUGUGGAUUGGGUUCCAACUCUUGUUAGGUUAAUUAUUGUUUCGACCGCCUCACCACCUAAUUGUGGUGAGAGUUUGGGCGAGGUUUCUAAGUCCUAAAGAUGAUUUACUAUUGUCCAAUAUACACAUACUGAUCGACAACUAUGUCAAGCAUGGACUCCAAUCAUUUGGGAAUUGCUUCACGAGAUAUCAGUUGAUCUGGACGGAUGAGGAGGAUGCCGAAAAUACAACCUUUAUCAUACCAUAGGGAAUAUACUGCUAAUAAAUUAUGCCGUUUGGUUUGAAAAAUGUUAGAGCCACCUAUAUGAGAGUUAUGAAAACCAUCUUCUACGAAAUGACACACAAGGAAAUAGAGGUGUACGUAGAUGACAUCAUCAUCAAAUCCAAAAGGAGUUCGGAUCACAUAGAAGACUUGAGGAAAUUCUUUGAUCGGCUUCGAGUGUAAAAUUUGAAACUGAACCCUACAAAAUAUGUCGUUGGAGUCCUCUGCUAGAAAAUUGUAAGGAUUCAUCGUCAGUCGCCGAGGGAUUGAAUUAGACCCUUCAAAAGUAAAAGAGAUCUAGGAAUUUCCACUUACGGCGAAUAAGAAAGAUGUGAUGAGCUUUUUAGGGCAUCUCAAUUACAUCAGCCAUUUCAUAGCACAAUCAACCGUAAUAUGUGAUCCAAUUUUGAGGAUGCUGAGGAGAUGUUGCCACAAGCUGGCUGAAGAACGGCAGAAAGUCUUUGACAAAAUCAAGGUGCAUUAAUCUAGACCACCCGUUCUGGUCCCACCAAAACUUGGAAGACCUCUAUUGCUUUAUUUGUCUGUAUUGGACGAGGCUUUUGGUUGUGUUCUGGGACAACAUGAUGACACUAGAAGAAAGGAGCAGGCAGAAUAUUAUCUGAGCAAGAAUUUAUGCCUUACGAAGCCCGAUACUCUUUGCUGGAAUACAUUUGUUGUGCUUUGACAUGGAUAGCUCAGAAGUUGAGGUGUUGUUUCUGUUGCAUAUAUCAUAUCAAGGAUGGACCCGCUAAAAUACAUCUUCUAAAACCUAUGCCUAGGGUAAGUUAAAAAAUUUAUAGAUAUUUCUGAGUGAUUUUAACUGCAUAUAUGUAUCUUAGAAGGUAAUAAAAGGGAAAGUAUUAAUAAAUCAUCUAGCUGAAAAUCCCAUAGACGGAGAAUAGGAACCAUAGAAAACGUAUUAUCCCGAUGAAGAGGUAUCAUUUUUAGGAGAAAGUAUCACCGUGGGAUACGAUGGUUGGAGAAUGUUCAUCGACGGAGCUGCAAUCUUCAUAGGGGUGGUAUUGGAGCUGUCUUAGUAUCAGAAACCGGCCAAUAUUAUUCGGUAUCCACAAAAUACAUGUUUUGAUGCACCAAAAAUAUGGCAGAAUAUGAGGCUUGUAUCUUGUGACUUAGGUUGGCCAUUGACAUGAAUGUUCAGGAGCUACUGAUAAUUGGAGAUUCUAAUCUUUUGGUGUAUGAGUUCUAGGAGAAUGAGCUAUAACAAACACCAAAAUAUUGUCAUAUUUGUACUGUGUGCAAGACUUGAUCAAGAGGUUUACAAAGAUAGAAAUCAAACAUGCUAUAAGGGUUAAGAAUGAGUUCGCAGAUGCAUUAGCCACGUUGUCUUCUAUGAUACAAUAUCCAGACAAGAAUUUCAUUGAUCUUAUCCCAAUAGGAAUUCACAAAUAGCCUGUUUAUUGUGCAUAUAUUGAAGAAGAGAUUAAUGGAAAUUCGCGGUUCCACAAUAUCAAAAGGUACCGACAAAAAAGAGAAUACCCAGAGACUGCUACUCAUACUUAGAAGCACACACUCCAAAGGCUAUCCAACCAUUUCUUUCAAAGUAGGGGAAUUAUGUAUAGAAGGAAUCCUGACCUGGGGUUACUAUAGUGUGUCGAUGCCAAGGGAACAUCUAGAUUUCUAGAGGAAAUACAUGACAGAACUUGCAGACUGCACAUGAAUGGCUUCGUCUUAGCCAAGAAAAUACUAAGAGAACAAUAUUUAUGGAUGACUCAAUGCGGCCAAAAUUGAUUAUCAUUUGUUAUCAUUUAUUUAACAGCAACUCUUUCAUCAUUCCCAGGUAAAGAGGCGUAGCUGUUGAUACCCAAUUUUAUCCUUAUAUUUUGUCAAAUAAUAUAUAUAUUUUGAACAUGUCAUUUGGAAUAACUAUUUAGUUUAUAAGAAUUAUACAUGUACUUUUUAAAAUAAAUUUUAGCAAUAUUUAGAGCUUUAGAGCUAAUUUUCUUGCGUUUAAAUUACCUGAAUAUUCACUAAUUAUUUCUGUAAAUCAUUUCUUGAUUACCUAAUCAUCUAAAAUUAUUAUUUUCAUCCAAAAUACAUGUUUCAAAUAUAUUGUUAUACUUCAUUUAUAUAACUACUUUAGUAUUUUAUGCUAUUUGUACAAUCUUGCAAUAAUAGCCUAUAUUUUGUAAUUUUAUUGCAUUUGUCGUUUUAUUCAAGGUCAAAAAAAUAUUUUACAUUUUAUGAUGUUUUACUAUUGUUUUAAUGUAUUAAUUUUCAUAAAUAGAAUUUUUAUAUAUUUAUUUAAUAUAAAAUUAUUUCCUCUUAAUCUCCUAUUUUAAAAACUGGCCCAAUUUUGAGUUAAUAUUUUGGACCAAAUAGACCCAAAUCACAGGACGAAUCCCCAAGCUCAAGCCAAACAACCCCUUAAUCUCAACCCAGGCGGAACCCGUUUCAAAUAACCCGCCCCCAUUUCCCUUGCGAUCCUGUCAUUUGAUCUCAAAUCAUCAAUGGCCCAUAAUAAACUCACCCAUUUUCUUAUAUCCCGUAAGCUAAACCUAAAGACCCAUUUCACUAGUCUACUGACUCUAUACACUCUCAGACUCCUCCCUCCUUCAGAAACCUAAUCAUUGCCCUCUUAAUCUUUCUCCUAAUCCCGUUAACAAUGGGAUUCACCCAUUAUUUGCUUACCAUAUUUGAAUUCUUUCACUACUGGUUGUUUCUUUAUGGUAUUAGAUAAUACUUGCUUUAUUUUGGCAAGUGUAAAUCUUUGAAUUAAAGCGACACUAUCUUCAAUCUUCAAGAUCUAGACGGUAUUCUAUCUGUAUACGUUCAUGGAAAGAUGAUUGGUCACGCCCAACUCUAGUUAUAAAAAGGAUAAGCAGUCACUACAAAUAUAAUCUGGUCUAGAAGUCUGGAGUAGAAUCCUACAGAGAAUUAAGGUUUCUCUACAACUAUUCUCUAUCACCAAGAAGAUAAGUUUGAAAAAUUUCUAAGUUAUAAAUAUGAAAACUCAUAUGUCUAACUAAUUAACUAACAAAUUGAAAUAGAAAAUUAACAACAAAAGACACUAAGAGUUAGAGACAUGGUUAAGGAGGUUUAGAGUUAUGAUUUUCCCAAUUGUCAAAAUUCUUCCCGCUAUGUUUCCUACAAUUUCUUCUAAAUAUUAUCUACUGAUCGUGAGCACUUCAAGUGUCGUAAUUCAUUAUUGAGCAACUAAUAAAAUAUACUAGAUAUACUCUCUCCAACUACACUACUGGCUUUAUCUUGCCGUUCACUAUGACCACGUCAAAGCUUCGUUAUCUCUAAUCCCGCUUUCAAACCUGCCAUAUUGAUCUCUCAUAUACCACAGGAGUGACAUUGUUCAACUACCACCUAAAUAUGUGUCCUUUCUCAAGAAACACAUAAUAAAUAGGCACAAUCAAUCGAUUGCCAUUCAAUCAACUAAAAUAAGCACGUAGUUGAACAAGUAGAUAAAUCCAAAGGUUAAAUUAUAUAAAACAUUACAAGAAUUUAUACUAUAAAAGGUUCCGUCAAAACCCUAGAUAACACAUUAGCUUUUCAUAAUAGUAUGCAUAAAUACAAUACUACAAUUCAUGACCAAUAACAGAAAGAGUAAGUAGGAAUUGAAAAAAUUAUAGAAAAAGUCUCCGCCUUGUGCAGCCGCACUCGCCACCUACUUUUCACCCUGUUUUGCUAAACAUUUGGAAAAGUGUAAAGCAUGAACUUUGUUAUCCAUUUGAAUAGCUUUCCAAUUAUAUAUAAUGGAGCCCAAAUGGAGUUUUGAGCGAAAAAUUAUGUGCAUUUUACUAUAUAGUACGCAAUAUGCCGACUCGAUUCUUCGCUCGUUCUUAACUAUCAUCCGUUGAUCCCUAAAGAAAAUCCUAACUCAGUUGCUUAGGCUCUGAAUCAGACUUCAAAGCUCUAAAUCACUUGAAUUCAUUCCAUACCAUCUACCAUAGCUCGGAAUCACUCCUACAAGGCAUAAAACAUAUAAUUAGUGCAAAACACUAGGGGUUAAAGCUCAAACUCACUUGAAGUGUAGUAAAUUAGAGUGUAGUAAGUGACCAAUACAUAGUUAUAACCGAUCACCAACACCUCACACUUAAGCCAUUGCUCGCCCUAGAGAAAGCAAACUACACUUUAUAUAGACACGACUUUCUUAAAAAAUUCUCCUAAGUCAUCUCACCAGGAAUAUCUAAAAUAAACUAAGAACAAAAGCGUAAUAUCGUCACCUCAAGAUUAUAUUCACAUAUACCACAUAUUAUUCCCAACUCCCCCACUUACUCUAACAUAGAGGUCAUUGCAUUACCUUUUCUUCAUGAAUCAAUUGACCUCACACAACAAAAGAGAGUAGUUACAUACAAUAUACAAGUUAAGAACAAUUAGGAACUCAAGAUAGAAAGAAUUCACUCACUCUCAGAAACGACAUUCAUAAGCCACAAAAGAUACACCAUAGGCUUGUCCGUAGUGUACUACUAUACUAAUCGAGCUCAUUCAGUAUAGGAUCAUAUAUGACUUUAUUUGGUUGUAAUGUCCGCGGGACGUGUAGGAUAUAUUUAGAUAUAAGAGCGUCUACACCUCCCUAAGCACUUUAAUACAUAUACUUAUGUCAAACCAAACUCCACCUUCACAUCCAGGUAUAUUACGCCAUACUUCUUUAAGAACAAUUACAUUAAGAGUCACCACCUAUCAAGAAAUAUUUUUUUUCACCGUAGUACAACUAGUUUUUCCUUUUCUUUCUUUUUCAAUUCAAGUGGCUCUUACUUUUUAAUAACAAUGCACCUUUCUCCUUAUUUCAUUAGUUCCACUCAAAAGCAAAAUCAACCACUCCACACUUUAACUUAUACCCAGUUCAUACUAAUUCAAGUGCUCGUGAAAGGUUAGAAAGUUCAUAUAGAUGGUUAAUUCAAACAAAGGGGUAAGGCUUGUAAUGUGGUUGCCAAAGAAACAGAGUUACAAACUCAAAUGGGUUAGCUAUGAUACAUAACAAUUAGGCGAGUAAUACAUACAUACAUAUAUAUAUAUAUAUAUAUAUAUANNNNNNNNNNNNNNNNNNNNNNNNNNNNNNNNNNNNNNNNNNNNNNNNNNNNNNNNNNNNNNNNNNNNNNNNNNNNNNNNNNNNNNNNNNNNNNNNNNNNNNNNNNNNNNNNNNNNNNNNNNNNNNNNNNNNNNNNNNNNNNNNNNNNNNNNNNNNNNNNNNNNNNNNNNNNNNNNNNNNNNNNNNNNNNNNNNNNNNNNNNNNNNNNNNNNNNNNNNNNNNNNNNNNNNNNNNNNNNNNNNNNNNNNNNNNNNNNNNNNNNNNNNNNNNNNNNNNNNNNNNNNNNNNNNNNNNNNNNNNNNNNNNNNNNNNNNNNNNNNNNNNNNNNNNNNNNNNNNNNNNNNNNNNNNNNNNNNNNNNNNNNNNNNNNNNNNNNNNNNNNNNNNNNNNNNNNNNNNNNNNNNNNNNNNNNNNNNNNNNNNNNNNNNNNNNNNNNNNNNNNNNNNNNNNNNNNNNNNNNNNNNNNNNNNNNNNNNNNNNNNNNNNNNNNNNNNNNNNNNNNNNNNNNNNNNNNNNNNNNNNNNNNNNNNNNNNNNNNNNNNNNNNNNNNNNNNNNNNNNNNNNNNNNNNNNNNNNNNNNNNNNNNNNNNNNNNNNNNNNNNNNNNNAUAUAUAUAUAUAUAUAAGGCUCAACAAAGAAACUCCUAUAUCACUUUCAAGACUUAACAAAACUACUAUUUCGCUUUGCAAACACAUGGAAACGUUCUAAACAUCAAAUGUAAUGCACUGGAUAACACACAAACUUCAUACACACAUGGAACAUAACCCACUCAAGAUUGAUUUCAUCAAAACACUCUAGUCAAAGCAAUUAAGCAAAUUUAAAAUCAAACAAUUUAAGGUACUUAUACAAGAGUCAAAACUGAGCCUAAGAGUCACAACCAAAGUACUUACUAUUCUCAAGGCAUAACAAAGUCAAGAGAUAUUGCUUUAAUUUAAAACAUAGCAUAAUGGCUCCUAUUCUUUUUAAAAAACUAACUGCACCAGAUUCAAACAAAACCUUUGGAAAUGAACAGCAGUACAAAGAAAAACCAAUGGGGGUUGCUACACUACCUAUUAAGAAAAUCCUUUUGUCCUUUUUCUUUAGACUUAAACCCCUCAAGAAAAUUUUUUAAUAGAUACAUCGUCAAGAAAAGUCCAAUCUUUACUUUCAAAUAUUAUUCAAUUAAACUAACACAACUAAAGUAGCAUAGAAAUUCACACAGUCAAUAUCCUUAUACUACACGUAAAAUUGUGCAUUGUCCAUAAUUCACAUAAUAACUAUAACAGGGUAAAACAAACUACCUGGUAGGCCAAAGGCCGAAGCACUAGUAGCUCAUGGGGCACUCAGGCAUCUCCGAAGCUUGGUCCUUCGUACUGAUUCAUCACACUUAGUUCCAACCGCCUGGUUUGCUGUCGCAUCCUGCCAAUAGCUUUCCUUUCUAUGCUCGUGGAAAAUAAAAAAUCAGCAAAAAAAUAAAAAAUGAAUGAAAGAAAUAAAGUUGGGUUGCCUCCCAACAAGAGCUUGAUUUAAAAAUGUGGCACGACGUGAAUUACUUUUUGCUGCUACCUCGAGAUUAUAAAUUGAACCUCAAAUUUUGCAUCAAGUUUUCGGCUAUGUGAUAAAUAGGAAUUAUAGUUCCUUUUGCACUCCUUUUUACUUGAGUUUUGAUUUAAAAUUCACACAAAAUAGUCAUAAAGGCUUACAUGUUGUACUUAUUUGUAGGGUUUGGCAAAAAGGGUGACAAUGUUAAAACCAGCAUAAAAGGAGUGAAACAUACACAAGUUCCUAGAGCAAGUCCAAGCACAGUUGAAACAGAUCCACUCGGCCGCAAUCCAUUUCAUGCGGUCUGCAGUGAUGAGAUCCAGAGAGGUGUAAUUUUUGGUAACUCAAACACUGCGGCCGCAAAGCAUUUUGCGUGGACCGCAGUAGCCUCACUGUGGUUGCAAAUCAAUUUAUGCGGUCCGCUGAGUUGAGAUUCAAAGAGUUGUGAAAAAUGGAGAUUGAAGCCAGCGUGGCCACAAGCCAUUUUGUGCGGUCUAUAUUGAAGUCACCGCGGCCGGGUGCAUGUUAUGCGGCCCGUAGUGGCCAGAUUAAGAGAAUGCAUAAUAUAGCCAAAAAGCCCCAACGUAGUCCGUAAUGCAUUUUGUGCGGACUGCAAUACCUCGUUAAGGGUGUUUUUUCCUACAAAAUUUUGCCCAGUAUAAAUAGUUUUUUUUUCACAUUUUUAGGUUUUCUUUGUUAUUCUGUUCAAGACUAGAGCACAUGAACAAUUGUAUUAGGUUAUUUUGAGUAAUUUGUAGCUAGAUUUACACGGAAUCAUUUUUAUUUUAGUUUGAAAUUAAAUCAGAUGGAUUAUUCUUCAUCUAUUUAUCAAUUUUCUUCCAUUAUUAUGAGUACCUAGACACAUUAGCUAGGAUUGUGGCUCAACCCUAGUGUGAGUAUUUGAUGGGUCUUGAGUGUUAAGGCUUGAAUGUUUAUGGGGUGUUUGAUAUCAGGACUUAUUUGGGGUUUCCAUGUUGAAUUAGUACUUGCAAAUUGUAAUUUACGCCUUUUUGACUUGGGUUGUUCUUGAGAAAGAGUACUUGAGUCUAUAAAAAUAAGUCCAAUAAGGAAUUGGGGCAUAUUCAAGAGCUUGAUAGCCUCAAUUAAAUGGUUAAACCUAGAGAUAGUUAUACCCGUUUUGAACUUAAAUUUUUUGCACAACUAUCAUACCCAAUUGGUCUUGAGAAAGUCAAUUAGGAAACUAUCGAGAGGUAUAGAAUGAGAAUUUUCGUGCAUUGGUAUAUCGUAAUCCCCAACAUGACAACUUUGCCUUAGAUUCGAGAACCCAUCAAGUAUCACCUAGGAGAAAGUCACUUCCCUAGUGCCUCUUUUACAAUUUAGAAAACCUUACAAAGAAUAAUUCUUAGUUGAAUUUAGCUUAUCGUUAGCACAAUUAUGAGAAGUAAUAAUCAACUAAAAGAUGAUUGGAAGAGUAAUUAAGGGCACGCCGCAUCACUAGUUUAGAUAGGAAUCCAAUUCCCACUUCUAGCACCCUGUGGAUUCGAUCCCGAUCAUCUCGAGUAAAAGGUGCUUCAACCGCUCUCGUUACUUUGUAGUGGCACAUGGUUGGAACCGAUCACGUUAUCUGCACCAUUUUCGAUAAGCUAAUGGUUUUGGAUAUCCAUCUAAAUAGUUUUGUACAUUGGUCUUCAUUCCUUCUGUGUUACUAAUUUUUAAGUGUCACAGGUACAAAAUGGUAGCAAAUAAUGUAGCUCAUUGACAUCUUUUGCUACAGGAAGAGGUAGAUGAUAAUAUUUAUGAUGAGGUUCCUAUAGUGCCUCAAGCUCAAAGGAGAGGCCGUUAGGACAAUUAUAAUGUUCCAGAACCUCCCCCAGCACCUCUAAGAGUGGCUCCUCAAGUGCUUCCCCACCAAGGAUAUGCUAGUGAAAUUGUUCCACCACGGAUCCAAGAAGGCAAUUUUCAAAUUACAAAUGUGAUGCUAACAUUGUUGGAGCAUCGAGGGUAUUUAACGGGUGAUCCCCAUCAGAAUGCCUACAAACAUAUCAAGGGUUUCAUGGAUACCUGUUGGGGGAUAAGGAAAAUUAAUGUGUCAGAGGAUGCACUUUGGUUGAGAUUAUUCCCUUUCUCACUUAGAGGGAAGACAUUGGAUUGGCUUAAACGGCUUCCUAACUAUUCCAUCACUAUUUGGGAUGGGUUGGAAAAUAAAUUCAUUACAAAGUGUUUCUCGCUGGGGCAUAUGGCAACAUUAAGGGAUGAGAUUUUAGCUUUCAAGCAGGAGCCCACCGAAAUAUUACAUGAGAUAUGGGAGAGAUACAAAACCAUGGUAAAGGAAUGCCCCAACUAUGAUAUGACUUAGGCAAUGAUAUAACAUACAUUUUACUAGGGCAUUAACAUAACACAUCGGUGCAUAGUGAACCAACUUACUGAGGGUGAUCUAAUGAAGUUUUCUUAUGGUGAGGCUUGUGAGAUUCUUGAUGAGAUAGCUGACACGUCCUUCGCUUGGCAACGUAAAGUCAAUGUGUCACAGGGUGACCCCACAGUCACUCACUUGAACAAAAAGCUAUAUGAUCAUAAGAAAAUAAUAGCAGAGCUGACAACAAUAAUGAACCAGCUAGCUAAGGCAAAAUUAUAGUAGGUUCAAAAUUUGCUCCAAGUAAAUAUUGUGAAGGGUGUCAACAUGCUAGUGAACAAAAGAAAAUAAAUAGGUCAAUAAAACCAAGAUAUUCCGGAUCAAUAUGACAAUAACUGUGGUGGAUUCCAAGAUGUUGGUUAUGAUGGGCAGAACUAAGAAGUGCAACAUGUGAACAAUUAUUAGGGCAAAAGGGGAAAUUCUUCCAACCAACAACAAUGGAGAUCCCAAGGCAAUUGGGGCAAUUAACAACAACAAGGGAAUAGUAGUUGGGGAAACAAAAACCAAAAUUACAAUUGGGGAAAUCAAAACAAUCAGGGUAAUUUGAACGGCAACAACAACAACUUGGGUGGUAACAAUAAUCAGGGUGGUUAGAACAAUGGCAAUCAAGAAAACUGGGGGCAAGGCUUUCAAAGACCCCCAAUGUAUCAACAACCGAUCAAUCCACCCUUGUAUACAUACUAAGGUCUUAGUUCUUCCAACAAUGAAAUGGGGAGAAUUGAAUUAUAUUUGAAAUGAUGAUAAAAAAGAAUGGUGACUCUGAUGCUUAAUUGUCUUCCCAUAAUACUUCAAUCAGAAACUUGGAGGUUCAAUUAGGCCAAGUAUAACAAUCCUUGAAUACUCUCCCAAAGGGGACUCUACCAAGUGAUACGGUAGUUAACCCAAAGGGUGGGAACAAUUUUGGUCUUGUUAUGACAGUAACUACAAGGACUGGAUGAGGUGGUGAUGUGAAUGCUUCCAAACAAAAAACAAUUUUGAGUGAUGAAGUUGAGUUGCAAGAAGAUGAGAUUCCUUUGGUUGUUCAAAAUUUGAUUGAUGAUAACAUGAAUAAGGAAACGAGGAUUGAUAUAAAGAUGCCAAGGUGGAGACUCAGCAUGAUGUGAAUCCGUCUAGGGAACACAUAACAAACAUGCUGGGAACGGUCAUGCCUAAAGCCAAGGCUCCUUUGCCAAGGCCACCGCCACCUUAUCUUCAUAGGCUUGUGAAGUAGAAAAAUAAGAAUUAGUUUAAGAAGUUUAUUGACCUGAUGAAUAGCUUAUCCAUUAAUGUGCCUUUGGUGGAGGUUCUAAAACAAAUGCCGGGCUAUGCUAAAUUCAUGUAGGACUUGGUGAAAAAUAAAAGAUCCAUGGAUUUGAAAACUAUCAAGAUGACCUACCAAGUUAGUGCAAUAGUGCAGUCAAUGGCUCUGAAGCUAGAAGAUCCCGGUGCUUUCCCCAUUCCUUGCGCCAUUAGGAGCACGGACUUUGCUAAGGCUCUAUGUGAUUUGGGGGCAAGUAUCAACUUGAUGUCCUACUCAGUUUUCAUGACUUUGGGUAUUGUGAAACCAAGGCUGACUUCCAUGAGAUUGCAGAUGGUGAAAAGAAAUAUGAAGAGACCAUUGGGUAUUAUUGAUGUUGUUCUUGUCCGGGUGGAAACAUUUAUCUUGCCAGCUGAUUAUGUGAUCUUGGAUUGUACGGUAAACUAUGAGGUUCAAAUAAUAUUAGGAAGACCUUUAUUGUUACUGGGAAGGCCUUAGUUGAUGUGGAAGCAGGGGAACUCACCUUCUGCGAGGGUGAUAAGAAAGCGGUCUUUCAUGUGUGCAAGUCAAUGAAGCAGCCCAACAGUUCUAAAGUGUGCACUUUUGUGGACCUUGUCAUAGAAGUGAUAGUUGAUGAUACUAGUGGAAUGAUCAAUGUGGAGGACCCUCUAGGGGAAAUAUUGUUGAAUAUUUAUAUAAAUGAGGAUGAAAGGUGAGUGGAAUGUCAAAGAUCGGGUGGAAUUUUGAAGAAAGAUGAGAUUUUUCUUAAUACAAUUCUUGAAUUUGAUAUUUUUGAUGUAUGGGGCAUUGAUUUUAUGGGCCCAUUUCUUAGCUCGUGUUGGAACACAAACAUUCUUGUGACGGUUGACUAUGUUUCAAAGUAGGUUGAAGCCGUGGAUUUACCCAACAAUGAGGCCCAGAGUGUUGUUGUAUUUCUCAAGAAGAGAAUUUUUACUAAGGUUUGCACUCCGCGUGCAAUCCUAAGUGAUGGGGGGGGGGUAUCAUUUUUGUAAUAGAGAUUUUGACACUAUGCUUGCAUAGUAUGGUUUCAAUCACAAAGUUUAUACUCUUUAUCAUCCUCAGGCAAAUGGCCAUGUUGAAAUCUGAAAUAAGGAAAUAAAGAGUAUAUUGUCAUAUACGGUCAAUGCAAAUAGGAAAAAUUUGUCGAAGAAGUUGGAUGAUGCUCUAUGGGCUUAUAGGAAAGCUUACAAGUCUCUGAUUGGUAUGCUUCUGCACUGGUUGGUGCUUGGGAAAGCAUGCCAUCUACCGGUUUAGUUACAACACAAGGCCAUGUGGGCUUUAAGGAUGUUGAAUCUUGAACAAGAUGUGGUAGCGAAUCUUUGUGUGGAGCAGAUUAUGAACUUGAUGAAUUUUGAUUCCAUGCCUACUAUUGUACGUCCAUGUACAAGGACAUAAUAAAGUACCUUCAGGAUAAAUAUGCUCGUGGCAAGGAAUUCAAAAUGGGUGAUUUGGUUCUCUUGUUUAGUCCUUGGUUAUGUCUGUUUUCAGGAAAGUUCAAAUCAAAAUGUAGUGGACCUUUUUAAGUGGUAUUUGUUACUCUGUUUGGUGCAUUUGGCUUGAAGAACAAAAAUGAGGAGGUUUUUAGAGUUAAUGGGCACAGGGCCAAGCACCACCUGGAAAAAAUUGAUGAUAGCCACGUGGUGACACUGCUCCAUUUAAAGUGAUUUGAUGGUAACUUGCAUUGUGCCACGACGUUAAGUCAAGCACUUCUUGGGAGGCAAUCCAUAUAUCUUUCUUUUUGUUUUUCUUUGAUUUUCUUUUUAGUGUAGGAUUUGAUUUUGGACUAACGAUUUGUGAGAUAUGCGUAGGAUUGUUUCGAUGUAGUGCAAGACCGAGUUGGGAAAAAUUUGCACUCAUUGAAGUUUGCAUUGCGACCGUAGUGCAUUUCUUGCGGAUGCAAAGGACUUAUUGGGUUCCAACAUUUCAAUGCGGUCCACCAAGCUAAAUUUGUCAAGCAUAGGGUUCUCUAAAGUUUGCGGUUGCGGCUGCAAUGCAUUUUGUGCGGUCGCUGGUGGACCACUACGGCCGCAUUGCAUUUCUUGCGGUCUGUAGUGGAUGUCUCCCAAGUGCUCCAUGGUUCUGAAUACAACAGACCGCGAUGCCAUUUUCUGCUGUCCGCAAUGGGAAGGUAUACUGGGUCCCAGGAUCCUUUUCAAUAAAUAGGACCUCAGGGCUUCAUUUACCCUUUUCAUUCUUUGCUCACUCAAUAGUGAAAAUCAUUGUUUAUACUAGCCCUGAGCGUAAAUUUCACACAUUGUCUCUCAAUUAUCUUUGUGUAUCUCAUAUCUAUUACUUCAAAUUCUUUAUAGUCUUUACUUCUAUUUUAUUUUAAUUUGUUAGUUUCUAUUUUUUUGUCUUCCCGUUUUUCAUUCAAUGUGUAGGUUAGUUUACAUAAUGCAUUUAGAUUAGGAUCAAUUAGUUAAAUACAAUGAUUAACUACAUAGUGGGUUCACAAUAUGUGCAUUUAGGCUUAAAAUUUGAAAAAUCUAAAACUCUAGAUUGGUGUUGCUGAAAGAGGUUCACCGCGGUCCGUGGUGGACUUUUUGCUGUCUACGGUGCCUCUCUGCUGUCCACGAUGGCAUUUCGUGUUGAUCGUGAUGGUACAACUUCAGAUAAUGAAAAUUUGAGGAUCGCGGCUGCAGUGGAUUUUAUGCGGUCCGCGGUGCCUAGAAUAAGAGAGUGGGUAGCUUGGUCCCCAACUAAAUGCAAACUGCCGUGCAUUUUGUGCAGUCCGUAGUGGCCUCUUUGCGGCCACACUUAUUUUGUACGGUCUUCAGUUUGCAGUUCUGCUUUACAUUUCAACUGUCUGCAAUCAUAUUCUUUAUUACUUCAUCUGGUACUAGGAUUCUAACAGUAACAGAAUGAAUUCUCCUUGAAGAUAAAUGUGAAAUCAUGUGGCAUAGGUGAUAACUAAAACGGCAAAGGAGAGUCCUCCUGGGGUAGGUGACAAGGCAUGAUCAGAUUUACCCUGCAAGUCCAAUAAGCAUUUACAGAUACUAGGAAGUCCAUAAGGGCUGCUGACAGAGCUGAUUCCCAUUCAGGAAGUGAGUGUGAGCCCUCCCGGGAGGCAUCCGACUCUGUUUCCGUGCAUGUGUAUGUUCCUGACUGGCCGAAGAGGCACAAACUGAGGGAUACACCUCCAGACUCUCCUACUACUCAAGCUUCAGUUGCUAUUUCUUCUAAGUCAUAUGAGGGCUCAGUGGAGAGCGGUGACAAUGCCUCUUCUACCUCACAUACAACUUCAACACCCGGUGAGGAUAUCGUAGAAGAAGAGUGAGGGGGUGAGCCUCAAGUAGGAAGGGUGACUAGAACCAAAAAACCAGAAGCAUGGGAAGAUAGAUUUGUCAGUGAAGUGGCAUGCUAUAAGUUUUGAGAAUAGUAGCCUGAGAGGAACUUUAUACCAGAGAUGAAGUUUAUUACAAAGGACCUUUUGCCUCACAACCCUAAUGUGCUGAGGAAGUUAAGAAAGAGAGAGAGAGAGAGCAUGCUGGGACUAUUUCAUAGGCCACAUUGAAGAUUCCAAUGAGCACUUAGUCAAGGAGAUCUACACUAAUGUUGCCCACAUAAAAAAGGGCACUACAAUGACUAAGGUGCAGAACUUGACAGUAAGGUUUGAUAGGAAGAAAAUCAAUGACUACCUGGGCUUUUCGGAGGAGGAUGAAACAUUGUACUUGGAAAAGGUAGCAUUGGGUGAGGAUGCGUGUCCGUGGUUAGAAGAGUUAUCGUUUCCUCUUUUGUUCCAUUCCUCGGAAAGGAGUCUAUGUUUCAAUAUUCAUGGGGUGUAAUGACUCAUUUCCUUUUGGGAAUUGGGGUUUUGCAUUUUUUUGAAGAGUCGCCACCUAACAAUUGUUUAAGGUGCAGUCUGGGGGUUUGUUUUUCGACUUGAUAUGUGGGGAAUGUUAUGGUGCAUAAUGGAGCAUAAUCGUCACUUGUAGCGGAAGUCAAGGAAAAGCAGUUUAUGAUCCGGCAUUGGCACAGAUGGAUUUCGUGGUAGGGUUACCUUGCACUCAGUGCAAGUUUGACUCAAUUUGGGUAAUAUUUGAUCGACUCAUGAAAUCAGCUCACUUCUUGCCAGUCAAGUCCACCGAUACUGCGGAACAUUAUGCCUAGCUGUAUAUCAAGGAGAUAAUAAGGCUCAAUGGCGCUCCACUCUCUAUUAUCUCAGAUCGAGGGUCCCAAUUCAAAGCUAAUUUUUGGAAGAAGUUUCAACAAGGUUUGGGUACCCAGGUGAAUCUCAGCAUCGUUUUCCCUCCAUAAACUGAUGGUCAAGCGGAGCGGACUAUUCAAACACUUGAAGAUAUGUUGCGGGCUUGUGUCUUGGAUUUCAAAGGUAAUUGGGAUGAAUACUUCCACUCAUAGAAUUUUCUUACAGUAACAGCUUUCACACUAGUAUCGGAUAGCCCCAUUUAAGGCAUCGUACGGAAGGAGGUGUAAGUCUCCGAUUUGAUGGUUUGAAGUGGGUGAGGAAAAACUGAUAAGGCCAGAUCUCGUGCACCAGGCUAUGGAAAAAGUUAAAUUCAUUUAGGAGAGGAUGAAUACUGGUCAGAGCCGCCAAAAAAUCCUAUGCGUAUGUGCGUCAAAGUGAAUUGGAGUUCCAAGUAGAUGAUUGGGUGUUCUUGAGGGUAUCUCCUAUGAAGGGAAUCAUGCGGUUUGGGAAGAAAGGAAAGUUGAGUCCUAGAUAUGUCGGUCCGUAUCGGGUCGCUCAGAGGAUACGACAGGUGGUUUGUAGGUUUGAAUUGCCUCCUGAAAUGUCAUUAGUGCUCCCGAUGUUCCACGUGUCUAUGUUAAAGAAAGAGGUUGGAGAUCCAUCCACCAUCGUGCCAAUCGAGACCAUCGAGGUUAAUGAAGGGUUAUCGUGUGAAGAUGUCCUGAUUGCCAUUAUUGAUAGGCAAGUACAUAAAUUGAGAAAUAAAUAAACUGCUUCGGUCAAAGUAUUAUGGCGAAGUCAACGAGUCGAAGAAGCCACGUGGGAAGCGGAAAGUGAGAUGAAAGAAAAGUAUUCCCAUCUGUUUGAACAAGUUUAGCAGAAAUCGUGCGAACUCCUAUCUCUAAGAAAACUAAUGUUGUGUUCAAAUUAGUAUAAAGACAACCCAUUUUUCCCUUAAAUUCUUUACUAUUGUAACCCACCCAAGUUGUGCACAAAUUGUACAUGUUGCGGUUAUUUGAGUUUUGUGCAAACCCUUAUAGUGAUUGAAAAUUUUCAUUACUCAUGUAACAAGUGAGCGAUUAAUGGUAGUGUAUAUGGGUGAUGAUUAAUUGAGAUGCAUGUAGUAUCUUGAAGUGAUUAGAUGUGUGCAAGAGUUGAGGUAAUGAAUUGUAUUCGUAUUAUAGGGACAAUACGAAAUGUAUAUUGGUGCUUGAACUAGGUUUUGGAGGCUCUCUGACAUGUAGAUAAGUCUAAUUACAAAGACAACUCUAGCAAAAUUUUCUCAAAAUAUGGAAAGAAACUCUUGCCAAAAUCCUUAUUCGAGGACGAAUGAUUUUGAGUGGGGGAGGUUGUAGGACACCGUGAAAACUUGUUCUCAAAAUCUAGUAACUUUUAAUGCCAAGUUUCGAAUGUGUGUUAGGAAUGUGUAAAAUUGUACUGUGAUAGCUUUUAAAAAUCAAGAAUCGAAUAGAAAAAUGCUAUUCUAUGGUGCAGAAUGCGGUCGCAGAUCAAGUAUGCGGACUGCAUUUCUGCCGCAGACUAAUAGAGUAGCCUGGGUAAAUUGUGGUAAAAUGCGAUCCAUUAUGCGACCGCAUAACUUAUGUGCUGACCGCAUAGUCGUCGCAUAAUUUUGUAAGGAUAUAGUGAAGGGCGGUUCUGCGGUGCAUUAUGCGACCAUAGAACAUGAAUGUGGAUUGUAUUCCUGUUACAGAUCCAAACAGUAUGCCCAGCUUUUGAGAACACUUUUGUGGUCUACUUUGUGGACCGCAUUUCCAGUCUACGAUCACAAAGUGCGACUGCUGAUUCGACUCAGACUCUAAUUUUUCCUAAAUUGAUGUAAUUGAAACAAUUGUAGUAAUAUAAUGUGUGGCUUGUCGUGGGAAAUUCUCGUUGUGACUUGAUUUGUAUCUGGGUUGUUGUACAUGAUGGAAAUGGUAUUGAUGUUUAUGAAACUCUUUGUCAGUGUUAUUGUUAUUGUGUGAAAUGUGAUUGCCCGGUGGGAUGGGGUUGUGCGUCGCUACACGAAGUUAUAAGUUGUGGGUCGCGGUGAUAAGGGUGGCUGAGGUAAUCACAAUGGUCAAGGUAAUAAGGGUGGAAAAGUGAUCGAAAUCACUAUCUAAAUGCAAAUGUGCAACAUUUAUGAAAAUCAUUGGUAUGGUGGAAUAUUUUUUAAAGGGGAAACGGAGAUAUUUGCACGAUCCACUAUUGCCUCGUUAAAAACGUUGCCAAAAAACCCAAUUGGGACAAAAAUGGUUCAAGGGAAAAAGAGCGCAACGCGUGCUUUUAGACCUAAAGACAUCGUGUCACUCCUUGUCGAUAGCCUGCAAGUGAUAAAAAAAAUAAAAAAAAGAAAUGGGGUCGUACCUCAGCAGUAAUAUCGUUUAAGAUAAGUUACAUUUCAAUUGUUCGGUAGUUGUUCUUCGUCCAUUGUUCCGAGCUUAUAGGACAUAUUCCCUAUGAUCUCAAGAAUCUAGUACGACCCUUCCCAGUUCGGACCUAAUAUUCCUUCAAUUGGAUUUUCAGUGAUUAAUGUGACCUUUCUCAGUACUAAGUCCCCAACAGUAAACUAUCGAUGGCCCUUCGAUUGUAAUAGCUCCAGGCUUAUAUUCAUGGCCUUUUGAUAUGUUGAUUCUGAGUAGCCAAUCAAACAAAGGUAGCUUCAUAUCGUUUACCAAAUAGCUCCGGGCAUAUUUUCAUGGCCUCGUCAUUCGGUUCCUUCAUUGCAUACUUGAAUAUGAUGUUGGGCUCCCCGACUUGGACCGAUAUUAAAGCGUCGGUGCCUAAACCAAUGACAAUGGGAUGGCCCCGACAGUAGACAUCAAAGUUGUGCGAAAAGACCAAAGAACUUCGGGCAGGAACUCUCUCCAUUUCACCUUUGGCAUCAGUCAACCUUUUCUUGAGGUUUUCGAUUAUGGUUUUGUUGGUCGAUUCAGCUUGUCCAUUCUCAUUAGGGUGAAAAGGUAUUGAUAAGAUCCUUUUGAUCUUUGGUUCUUUGAGAAAUUUGGUUACUUUGCUAUAGAGAAACUAUUUUGCAUUAUCGCAUACAAUUUCAUAUGGUAUUCCGAAUCAACAUAUGAGUUGUCCCGCAUGAAGUCGAUGACUUCCUUCUCCCCAAUCUUCUCGUAUGCACGUGCUUCAACCUAUUUAGAGAAAUAGUCAGUCAUAAAUAAAACAAAAUGAGCCUUACAUGGCCCCAUUGGAAGAGGGAUGCUGAUGUCCAUCCCCUGCUUCAUGAAAGGCCAUGGUGAUAAAAAUGAAUACAGCAGCUCCCUGGGUUGAUGAAUCAUCGGAGCAUGUAUGACAUUUAUCACAUUUUUGCACAAAUGGUUUUGCAGAUUUUUCCAUAUUGAUGCAGUAAUAGAUGGCUCUGAUUUCCUUUCAAACUAGUGAUUCGGCGCCUAAGUGGUUCCCGCAUUUGCCUUCAUGGACUUCCCUCAAAACGUACUCGGUAUCUCCUUGUCACAAGCAUAUAGCUAGCGGACCACAGAACGUUCUCCUGAGUAAGGUUCCGUCUUCAGACAGGCUAAAUCGAGAUGCCUUUGUGUGCAAGGUCCUAGAUUAUUAUGGGUCUGAGGGAAUUUUUUUGGUCUUCAUAUGUUCUAUGUAUUUAUUUGUACAAUCUUAAAUCAAGUUUUUGGAGUUUAUUUCGAUGUGAUCUUCUUCUACUACCGACGUUAUAAGUUGUAUAACCACCCCCCUAGUUGAGCUCGUUGCCUUUGACCGGUGACCCUAAGUUUUUGAGGGCAUCAUCUUUACUAUUUUGAUCGCGGGGCUCGUGCUACAAAGUCCAUUCUUUGAAACGAUGCAACGUUACAUGUAGCUUGUCCAUGUACCUUUGAAUUUGUUCAUCCCUGACCUCGAAUGUUCCAUUACUUGGUUUCCCCUAGACGACUAUAGUACGAUCCCAAGUCCCUACCCCUUUACAUUCUAGGCACCAUUCAUAAAAAGGGUCCAGAUUCCUAUAGAUGUUCCCGAGUUUACAAACAACUCUCUUUCGACUUCGGGUAUUAGGUCGGUUUAAUGUCGUCUACGAGGUCUGCUAAUAUUUUGGAUUUAAUGGCCACUCGGGGCUGAUAUUAGAUAUUGUACAUGCUGAUUUCAAUGGCCCAUUUGUCCAUCAUCCCGAGAGAUCGGAUUUAUACAUUAUCUUUCGUAAAGGGUAGAUUGUCAUAAUGCAUGUGUUGAUACUCAAUUUUCCCUAUAUAUAUAUAUUUUAAUGUGCAACACACUUUCAAAAUAACAUACAUAUGUAUAUUAAUAUAUAUCCAAGUGUUUCAUUAUUUUUCCUCAAUUUUUAUAGGGUUAUAAAUCAAUUUAUUCCCCUAUUUUAACCGUAGAAAAACUAAUAAUAAUUUCUAAAAUUAUUAUUUUUGGUGAUUCACUUGUUGAACUUUUAUAUUUAUGAAAAUUAUUUUGUAUUUUAAAGGCUAAAUUGCAUAAUUGCAACAUUAGCUUCUUUUAGGAUUUGAUUGUGGUUACGUUCAUAAUGAUGAAGUCUAGUAUUUUUGAAUGGUUAAUUAUAUGUUAUAAAUCAUAUUAGUGCUUUCAAUUUAUUUUUAUAAAUCAAUUUGCUAUUUUUCAUAAAAUAAAUAAGGAAACGGAUAUAUGGAAUCUAGGCAGAUUUAAUUUCAAUUAUAGCCUAAAAUUGACCCCAAUUUGAACCCAUUUCCCCCUAGGCCAAAACCUUUUAAAUCAUACCCCUUACCCGUUUAAAUAACCUAACCCGGUCUCCCACCUAACCCUUUCAAUCCUAGCCGUUAAUCAUUUUGAUCAACGGGUUCCAUUCCCCUUUACCAUUUUUAACCCAAAACGACCCAAAAACCCUAUCAUUUCUCACCCAUCGCUACACUUGAAUCCCCUUUUCUCUCAACUCUCUCUAAGACACCUACAAACCCUAGCCGCCGCUAUCAAACUACACCCCAAUCCAUGGCUUCAAAGGUCAUAUGAGAUCGGUACCAGCCUUUCCAUGGCUUCUAUAUGUUUGGUUUAUGGUUUCACGACUAGACUUCAAAGGAUUUUGAUCCAAUCCUUGCUCGACUUGUCUUCAUGGCCUUUCUCCAGCCAGCCACGACCUUUUCCAGCCAUUUAUGGCCUUUGAGGCGAGUCCUUGACCUUUUCUGUUUAGAUUGUUACAUUUCGAGACCCUUCUUGUCUCUUUUGGGUUUUCUGAAACCCUAAUCUCUAGGAUCUUUCUACUUCUUUUUAGAGAUUUGCUUUAGAUCUGUACUCGCUAACAUUCUCAUGUGUUUCUCAAAGGUUCAUUAACUUGCUUUCAAAACGACUCUUCGUUUUAUCCAAUUAGGGUUUUCCUUUAAGUUAUUUCAAGAAAUAUCUUCUUUAACUUUAACGUGUUUCUGAUUUUUGCUAGGUUUUGUUCAUGUUGUUCUUCUAUCUGAGUUAUAUGUUGAAACCCUAGUUUCUUUUCGGUCUCAUUCGAGUUUUGAAGUUGUUGUUUAAAUGUAUACUUCUUUAACUAAGUUUCUCGUUCUUGUUUGACUUAUUUGUGUUAUCAUUCUUUAAAACUUGAUUUUUGUUGAAACCCUAUGGUUUUGGGUCUGAAAUUGUUUGUUUAAGUACUUGACUCGACUAAAAGCUUUUGUUAUAGACUUUCUUUUCUCUAUGUCAUUUAUCUUAUUUUUUUACUAUCUCUCAACUCGACUAGAGUUGAAACCCUAACUUUUUAAAAGGGUUUCCCUACAUGGUACUAUGAAACAUUUGCAUGUUUUUAAUGCUCUAUUUUCUUCCCUGUUGAUUCAAUGUAAUUCGACCUACUUGAUUAACAUUCUUCAAAUGUUUUCUUUCCUACUAAACCUUAGCUUAUUUUUGCCACUACUCCAUGUUUGUGAUUUUCUCUUUUAUCAAUACAUCUCGCCUCGCAUGUUUGAUGGCCAUGUUAACUUUAUUUAUAUGUUGAAGCCUCUUCUUUGAUUGAUCUUGGUCUUGUGACUAAUUUCUAACGUCCCCUCUUUUAUGAACCCUGAUUUCACUCGCCCGUUCAAAUUGAUGGAUUCUUUUCUCAUUAUUGUGAUAUUUACCUUGCUGGAUCUAUUUCCAAAAUAAGCAUAUUUCUAUACUUAAACUGGAUGCUUACUUAAUGUUUUUACUACCCCUUUUAUGGAAAUAAUCAAUUUGUCUUUAAAUUGAUCUUUUUCCUUAUUUGAAUAUGUUACAACCCGUUAAACAAUGAUUCUUUAAUUAAAGGGAGUCACUUGGGUAAUUGAUUCUGACUGUAGAUUGUUUCUAUAUUUGUAUUAAAAUUUACUUAUUUCCUUCCUUCACUCAUUUUCAAAAGCUAUAUAUACCCUCCACCCCUCUUUUUUCAAACACACGAACAACAAGGAACGAAACACUUGAGUUCAGAACAUACACUGCACUCAAAACUCUCUCUCUCUUUUCUCUGUUACUACUUAUGUUGCUGCCUUACCUAGUCAGCUGAAAGCCAAGGCUAGGCUGCAGAAAAUCUAUUUACUUUUCUUUCUACAUUUGCUUCUUUACUGGUAUGUUCUAAUUAAUUUUCCAGCAUCAACAACAACAUGUUUCUUUACUAUUUCCUUCACUCUUACCUGUUUCUGCUUGUGUUUAAUCAAGUUCCAUUACUGAGCAUGCUAUAAUCUGCCCGUUUCUCUUCUAAAUUAAUGUUCUAUCAUGAACUCUGUCAGCCAUUUAUUAUUACUUAUGAAUCCCAAACCUCCAUAUUCCCUAGCUGUUUGUACUCCUUGGUUGGUUUGGGGCAUGCCAAUAUUAGACAUUGUUGUGCAUGACCCAAACCUGGCCUUACGUUGGGUCAUAACCUUCAUUUCCCCUCUAUGUGCUUUUUUCUCGGGCUGAUUUAGGGGCAUGCCAACACAAUCUUUUACUAUACAUGCCCAAACCUGACCCCUUCCUACGGUCAUAUUCCCCACGUAAGGAAUUCCCUAGCCUAUGAUUCUUUGUAUAAAAUGCUGAUUCUGUGUAGUGUUAGCUUUAUUACUAAUAUUCUCCAAUCACCCUCGUCCCUCUCUAUUCUCCACUUAGUUUCAAAUCUAUGUUCCUGCACUUCAACUAUGCUUAUAGAGUUAGGUUCUGCCCUUCUUGUGUGAGCCUUACCUUGGUACCCAUGAGCUCCCUCUAAGCUUGAAUGCAUAAGGGCUGGCCCUUCCACAAUGCACUUAUCUCUAUAUGGUUAUGCAAACUUGAGUGUAAGCAUUUCCCACGGUCCUUUGAGAUCCUUAGGGAACUUUGACACACCUAGAUUUGAGAAAGGCUUUGAAACAAGUGGCAUUGGAGGAUUUUUGUUCCAUAACUCAAAGAUGAAGUCAUAAUCAGGUUUCAUCUGGUUGUAACUUCUUCUUUUACAUAUUUUUGAUGUAAUUCAACAAUUGGUUUGUAAUAAUUUAUAAACAGAUAUUGGGGUUGGUUAGUGAGAAAAGGGCUAGGUAAUUGUGCCUCCUUAACUAUUAGAAUGGUAGAGAACAUGUCUGUAGGAUCUAUUUUCUGUAGGAUUAAUUCAGCAUUUAUAUAAUAUGCCUAUAGGACUUAUUAGUCUACAUGUUUAACUUUGCAUUUAGAGAACCUCUUUGUAGGAAUUUUUUUAAAGUUCCCAUUUAGAUAACAUGCCUAUAGGAUUUGCCUUAAAUUCUACAUGUUUAUUCCAACACUUAGACACUAUGUUCUUAGGAUCCAAUUGAUUAUAAACCGGCAUCAUGUCCAAAAGUCUAAAAUCAGUACCUUUUCAUAGAAAUCAUGCCUAUAGGAAUUUCGAGUAAAUCCUGCCUGCUUCAUUCCACGCUCAUUUAGAUAUCAUGUCUAUAGGAAUGUAAAUCAGUAAUACUAGAUAUCAUGUCUAUAGGAAUUAAAAUCUUCAAUAAUAGAUAUCAUCGUAUAUAAAAUAAGAAACCAUUCUAGUCUAAAAUCAAUUAAACUCUCACUGUCCUGAAAUAGUUUUUAAAACAACCUACUCUAUUCUUAUUAACACGUUUUAGAAAGCAUGCCUAUAGAAUCUCAAAUUGCUCAUUUUAAAAUUAUAACUGCUUUGCCACAUUCUGAAUCUGUAAUAGAUAGCAUGUUUAUAAGAUCUCACCCAAACACUUAGGUAAGCCUUAGGUGACAACCAAUAAAACUCAACCCGCCUCUAUUAAUUAGUAAUUGCAACAACCAAUUGGCAGGCCUGAUUCUGACUUCUUAUCUGAUUUAUGUAGUAAAUUGGUCUUCUUCAACAAUUAAAACUCCCUUGCCUUAGUAUUUAGAUUCAAACUUUUAUUGGGCUUAAGUCAUGCAAUUUAUUUGCUUUGCUUUAGGAGUUAUAUAUGAGCCUUUAGUUGUUUACAUAUUUUCCGUUAAUGUGCAGUCCUAUGUGUUUUUGUAUGUUGCCUUAGAUUUUUUACCAUUUGAAAUCUGAAAUAAGCCUAAUACCCCUUUUAUUUGGGAAUAGUAGUCCUAAGUUCCUCCGGGACUGAUAGGAAUGGGAUGGAUAAUUCCAUGCAAUAAUGGUAGACACCAAUCCGCGCAUUAAUACCUCAAUGGGAUGGGAAGGGUAGAUAUGGAUAUGAUGACUGGUGCACUAAUACCAUGUGUAGCCUCUCUUUAGAGGAGUGAUUACAUGUUAUUUCAUUGAUGUGAUUCAUACUAUAAAUAAACCUAGGACCUCAUUUAUAUUCAUUAGCAUGCUUAGUUGUAACUCUUUCAAACUUUGUUCUAUUUUUUUUAUUACCUCCAAACACUUGUGUAUCAAAACCCCUCUUAUUUGAGUCUUAUUUAUUUACUUGUUAAUUGCACAAAUUCACAAAGAACUAUCUGGCUGGGAACCAGACUAGUGGAUCUUGGGGGGUGCCUAACAUCUUCCCCUUAGGAUAAUUUCAAGUCCUUACCCUAUCUCUGGUUAUCAAACAAACUUAGAAGUGAAACAUAUAGGUGUUAUAAUGCACCUUAAACCAUUGGAUGGCGACUCUUCAAAUGCAAAACCCAGUUCCCAAAAGGAACGAGUUGUCAUAUGACCAAAAUGUCAUAAACAUGAUUUUUCGAUGCAAAGAGGGAAAGAAGGGGGUGCGACAACAUUGUGACUCUACUGGGUAUAUUAGGCUCUUACCACUUCAGACCGUUCUUAUGAAUUUUUACCUUCCCUUUAUAUGCAAUUAUUUGUUUAAAUUCCUUUAAGUGUUUAAUUUCUUUUUAAAGGCAAAACCGAGUUAUCUUAUUCGUUUCCUUCCUUUAUUGUUGGUUUAAAUUAUGAAAUUGUUGUAUUUACUACUUUCUUAACAUGCAAGUACAUGCCAAUGCUUUUAAUUAUUGCAUAAUCACGCUCAACAUCAUACUCCACUCGUGCCAAACAAAUACCAUAGCAACUCUUAUAAUGAGUGCUUGCGCUUUUCCUAUAUUAUUCCCUCCCUAAAUUCGGAAUGGCAUAUUUGUGCUAAAACUUGUCGAUUAGCGAUGCAGUCGACGCUCCCAUGCCUUCCCAUUUGAGUUGUCCGCUUAAUGGUACCAGUCUUAAACCCUAAAGAAACCUUACUAUGUUCAAACUGUCCAUGCAUCAUCUCAAAUAUAUCCGAGUCAGUUAUGUUGUCCACAUAAUUAUUCUUUAAGAUAGCCUUCUCCAAAGUCCACUAGGUUUCCCUAAACUUAAACAGACAUCACCACGUUAGCCUUGUCCAUAGAACUAAAUGCUUCAUGCUAAUUAUUGGUAUUAAAGAGUCGAGUCUAGUGGAGGUAAGGGCCUAACGUUAUUUGUCCUGCAGAAAUAUGAGGCACGAAGUCCCUAGAUUUGGCGUGGUCACAAAAAUCCACCCAAGACUGCUAAGCUGGUGGAAAGGUCUUUACUUUAGUGAUCAAUACUCGUCCGAAUAUAUCGGGAAAUCAACAACUCCUUUUGGAGAUCCAACCUAAUAAGAAGAUCAUAGAAGCUACCACACUAAUUUGGGAUUGUGAAAGGGUUGUAUUCCUCUUAGGGGACAUAGAAAUGACAACCCGUACUAGAGGAGAUAGGAGGAUUGACCGAUCUAUUCUGGGAAACUCUGGGUUAUUUGAUGCCUGAGAAAAGUAAACGUAGGGAUUUUCUCAAAAUUUAUAGGUUUAAAGAAGAAUCCCGAGUUGACAAUUCUGAAAGAAUCCUACAUCCAUUUUGACUAUUUGUAUGAAAGGUACGAUUGCGGCAAAUCCUACCCUACCUAAUCAGACGAGUUUCCCAUCAUAUCCUUGGGGCAAAUUUAUCGAAGGGUCUUCGUAUUUAUGUUUUGUUUCCUAGGGCUGAUCUUGUUUACAAUGAAGAAAGCAAAGAUCCAUACCAGGUUGGCUAUAGUAAUAAGACACUAAUCGAAGGGAUAGGUGGGCAGCCAUUUGGAAUUGUGCACAUGAUCAUUAUGAAUAUAUACCGAGCCUUAGAGAAGUCUCAACAAGUAGUGAAACACUUCGAAGGAUGCAUUUUAUUACUUCAACUCUAGCUCCUGGAGCAUCUCCAAUAAGAUGAAUACCGACAAGCGAUUAAGCGAAGGGACAUAGAUUAUCCCAUCCUUUCCAUCAUUCGAAGCGAACGAAUUACGUUCCUGAUAUGUUCGCUCAACCAGAGGUAGCCAAAGGAUGGGUUGAGAUGUUUGAUAACCUAACCGAAGAGCAGGUUCAAUAGGUGUUCGAGUGGUUUUCGACUGAGGAGUUCAUCGCCCAAUCCAGAGAUACACAUUUUCUGAUACUAAUCGGUCUGAGAGGAACAUAUCCCGUCCCUCUCCGAGUUAUGAUACAAGCUGGUAGGACGCAAGUUAUACCCAUGGUCGACAAGACAUGUCAUUUCCAAGCCGACUUAUCGGAUGAUGAUAAUCCUUACAAAUGCCAAGCUUAGCAUAUAUGGCAUUGCAAGAUCAUUAUGGGGAGACAUACCAUCUAGCCAAAUAGGUAUCAUACUGGUUGCGCUCGUUUAUACUUAGGUUGGUUGGAAGGCAAUCAUGAUGGUAUGGGCCAGCUAGGAAUUGCCCGAGGUCACAAAAUUAUAUAAAAGGGCCGAGGCACACGUCAAAUACAACCAGUUGAAGGAUCCGCUAGUGCGAAUGCAAGAACCGCAAAAUACAAGAGUCCAACUAGAAGCUAAUUGAAGAAUAGAGGACAUGGCUGUUAGUGCCAACAAGCGACUGGGAUACUUAGAGCGGGACAUUGUUGAGUUGGAAAGAAAGUUUCUCAAGAGGGUCGAAGACUUCGAAAAUGCUGAAGGAAUCGAAGGAGGCUAUCUACCUAGGGCCUACCUAAUGCUGGGGCUUUGUGAGUUGGGAAAGCUGUUCGACAGAGCCAAGGAUGCCGAAUCUUCUGAAGGUCCUUCUGGGUCCAAGUAUAUAUGAGUUUUUCUUUUCGCUUUAUAAAAUGUAAUAAGGCCAACGGCAAUUAGUGAUUUCAUUUCCUGUUUAUUUAGUGUCAAUUUGGGAUUCAUCUAUAUUUUAUCAAUAAAAUGAGGCAUUUAGCAUUCCAAGUUCUCCAAAUAAACUUGUCCCUAGGCCCACCUCGGCCACAACAAGGCUCCAAAAUUAAGAGACGCUUUACAUUCCUGCACUAUAUGUUUAGAUAUUGCAAUACUUUGUAAUUCUCGUUAAUUUGGUUACCUUUUUGUUUUAUUUUGUUUUGUUAUUCCCCUCCCCAAAGGUUAGUUCCUGCACUUUGGUAACAUCAUCUUAUUCAACGAUAUCCAAGGGCCCUCCACCCACUCCUUCUCUAAGUCAUGUUAAGAGCAAGAACAAAGACAAAAUGGAAGAUUUGAACAUUAAAAAAAGAGAACACAACAGCGGAGGCCAUUGAUGGCCACAGUAUUUGGGUUCCCAUAGAAAAUACAUCACAACUUGAGUAGAAAUUGUUGAAGUUUCAAGAAGAGCUUGAUCUGAUUCGAAAUUUGGCUAUCCUAUCCUUCUCCCUCAGCACCCCAAACACCAUCUUCCCCAACAUUCAAACUACCACACCCGCCACAAAAGCAACCAAACCAUCCCAUUGUUCAAACCAAGAACCAAUGCAACACUUGCCAUACUCCAAACAACAAUCCAUUACUCAUCCCCGAACCACAAAAUUAUACAAAUGACCAUCUCCACACCGACACACCCGGCCACCACAAUAGAUCCAUAUACGUAGAGAUGAAGCCACUCUCCACCCAACCUAUGUCUUGCACAUCCCGAUUUUAAUGAAAAAGAUCUACUCAUUAGAAACCUGGAUAAAGAGCUUAAGAAUUUAACAAGCCGAAUCCAAGGCGUGAAAGGAAGUAAAUAGAUCAAAAGUUUGAGCAAUGAAGAUCUCUGCAUACAACCAAAUGUCAUACUACCAGAGGGGUACGAACCUCCAAAGUUCGAGAUAUUUGAAGGUACAGGAGAACCAAGAGCCUAUCUAAGAACAUAUUGCGAUAAGCUGGUCGGGGUAGAAAAGGACGAAAGGAUCCAUAUGAAACUAUUCAUGAGGUUUCUGAAAGGAGAUACACUAUCUUGGUACAUCAGCCAAGAUCCAAAGAAAUGGCCGAGCUGGGUAGGUAUGUCAUAUGAUUUCAUGGACAGGUUCAUGUUUAACUCAGGAAAUGCGACAGAUGUAUUCUAUAUUCAGAAUAUGAAGAAAAAAACCUAUAGAAACGUUUCAUGAGUAUGCUACUCGCUGGAGGUCUGAAGCUGCUAAGGUCAAACGUACCUUAGAGGAGGAACAAAUGAACAAAUUAUUUGUCCGGACUGGGGACCCGGAAGUAUUAUGAAUAACUAAUGAUUAUUGAAAUCAUAAGUAUUCCGACAUAUUCAAGCUUGGGGAACGAAUUGAAUAAGGUAUGGUUACAAACUCCAAGGCCUUGCAAGCCACAAAUAAGGCCUUGAAGUCUAGUGGUGUUUCUAAAAAGAUGGAUGUAGGGACCAUGAUGGUUGAAUAAAGGACCAAGUCUCCUCUCAAAUCCCAAACCUACCCAAUACCUUCACUCACAUAUCAGCUAACCCCAAACUACCAAGUACCCUCCUACCAAGCUCCACCACCGGCUUAUCAAUCAUAUCCACAUCUCACAUAUAAGCCUACCUCGCCCAGAUAUUCCCAGACCGCACAUGUCUACCAAAAUUACAAUGCCCAACUAUAUCAUUACCGAUAACUCCCCGCACGCCAUAAUUUCCCUAAUCCCCAACCUAAUUUUGAUCGAAGGCCUAAAAAAUAAUGCAAAACUAUCGUCGAACCCAUUGAUCAGAUAUAUGAGAGUCUCAAAACCAUCGGUUAUGUCACCUCAUCCCUGCUACUAUCCUUGAGAACACUUAUAAGUGGGUUAACCCAAAUAAAUCUUCUGCAUACCACUCCGGUAUAAAGGGGGCACACCAUCGGUGAAUGCCGCUCCUUAAAAGACAAGAUACAGUCCCUGAUUGAUAACAAAGUCAUUGUAGCAAAGGAAGCCACCCGAACGUCGUACACAACCCCCUACUAUACAACAAAGGUGGGGUGUUCACAUGAUUGAAGUAGAGGAUUAUUGGGAUCCCGAAGGAUCCAUUGGGUUGAUCGCGUAAGGUGAUAAUCUAAAGACGCCAGUAGUUACUCUCAACCAUAUCAUAGUCCAGAUCAAACCAUCUGAGGCCACUGAGGUAGAUGUGUCUAUCCCUCUUGAGGUUGAAGCUGCGCCAUCAACAAAAGCACCAGCACCAUUUGAGCUUUCAGUUUUACCUAAAGAACAUGUCCCAUUCGAAGUAAGGAUAGCUGCACUGAUUCCAGUGGCAAUGACCACCAUGCUGUCAUUCCAUAUAAAAGCUAUGCUUUGGGAUUAUAUAGCCGAGGUUAGGAGGAAAGGAAAAGUCAGGUACGAAGAGACUGUUGCAGCGCAAGGUAUGACAAGAACUAGAAGAGUCUAUACCUCGAAACACUUAGCUGAGUCGAGCAAGCAAGCCUCCAACAUGCCACUUAUUAUUGAAAUAGGUCCAGAUGAACUUUGGAGGAAGAUACAGGCCAAGGAGUAUUCAUUCAUCUAUAAUCUAUACAAAACAUCAGCAUAGAAAUCCAUCAUCUCAUUGCUGCAGAAUUCCAAGACACACAAAAAUGCUCUAUUGAAUGUGUUGAGUGAAGCCUACGUGCCAAGUAAAAGACUGGGUACAGGAGCUGGGUAAACUACUGCACGAGAUAAAAGAGGGAGCUAGCAAUGUGAAAGAUUUUGACGGAUCUUAGAGGUCCACCAUCAGAGAGAUUAACCUGUGUCUGGAGAUGGGGCCUACCUAGUUCGAAGUCGACUUUCAUGUGAUAGAUGUGCCAGCAUCCUACAACCUGCUGCUAGGGUGACCCUUCAUGCAUGCUGGAGGAGUUGUAGCUUCAACACUACAUCAGGCAGUAAAAUUCGAAUGGAAUCACCAAGAAGUAAUCAUUCACGGCAACGGUAACAACCCUAUAUACAGUCACCAGAUCAUUCUGGCAAUUGGAGGAAAACGAAAGAUAGGUUGAGAGACCUACCACCACAUCGAGCGGGUCAAUGCUAUAAAUAAAGAUAAGUGGUGGGAUAACAAGAUCGAGAGUAUACUGAAUUGGAGUGGGUAGGAACCUGGCAAAGGAUUCGGGAAGAACCUCCAAGGGAUCUCUAAACCUAUAAAGCUCAAGAAAUAUGGCACCUCUUCUGGUUUAGGGUAUGAGUAUACCUGGGAGGCUUUCAAGAAAUUGUCGCCACCCUGCCGCGGUCCUUACUAGCCAUUGGAGUAGAAGAUACCGCACCUGGAGCAAACUUUCAAACAAUCUGACAUCAUCUAUGGAACAGACGAAGAAGAAGCACUAGUAGUAGUGACAAACUUAUUUUUAGAGGAAAAUGAUAUGGAUUGAUGUGUUAUUCUCGAGGAGGAGGGGAGGAAAGUCCUUCUAUACAAGUUGCGAGUAGAGAGGCAUAGCUCAACAAUUAGACGAUCAGGACUACGAGAGCCUGAAGAGCCUAGCAAGGCUAAAACAAGCAUUAUUACCUAUUUUAUUUACUAGAUGAUUUUCUUUUUGCAUUUUAAUUCCCACAAUAACAUCUUCAAUGUUCAAAACAACUAUGAAAUUUAUCAAAGCAUUUCGGCUUUUCUUAUGAAUCAAUACGCAUUAUUAUAUUUCUCAUUACUUGAUUUAUACAGCAUUAUCAUUACUUAUCUUGAUAAACCAUGACUAUGACAUACAAUGAGACAACACAACAAAUUGACAUUGAUUUAGACGAAGAUGACAUACCUGAGGAGAUCGUCAAAGAAGUUGAGAAAUUUAAGAACAGACCUAUAUCCAACCUAGACGAAAUAGAAACUGUUAAUUUAGGAGAUGAAGAAACCUCAAGAAAACACAAAUCAGCAUUCACUUUUCGCCAUCAGAAAAGAAGGAAUACAUAUAAUUUCUGAAAGAAUAUGAUGACAUAUUUUCCUGGUCGUAUGAUGACAUGACCGGUCUAAGUACAUCUAUUGUGGCCAGUAAACUGCCAACUGAUCCGACAUGUCUGUGGUAAAGCAGAUGCUCAAGAAGUUCAAGCCUGAUAUGAUUUUGAAAUCAAUGAAGAAGUCACAAAGUAAGUCAUAGCUAAGGUUCUCAGAGUGGUUGAGUACCCAACAUGGUUAGCCAAUGUUGUACUAGUAACAAAGAAGGAUGGGAAGGUAAAAGUCUGUAUCCACUACCGGGAUCUCAACGGGGCCAGUCUGAAGGAUGAACUUCCUUGGCCAAUAAUACAAAUCCUGAUCGACAAUUGAGCCAAUCAUGAGCUAAUGUUAUUCGUAGACUACUUUGCGAGUUAUCAUCAGAUCUGGAUGGAUGACGAAGAUGCUGAGAAAACCGUUUUCAUUACGCCAUGGGGAAUGUAUUGGUAAAAAAUGAUGUCAUUCGGCCAAAAGAAUGCAGGGGCCACCUACAUGAGGGCCAUGACUACUAUUUUUCACGAUAUGAUACACAAGGUAAUUGAGGUGCAUGUGGAUGAUGUUAUCAUCAUUUCCAAGAAAACCGGUGAUUACAUGGACAAUUUGAGGAAGUUUUCAACAGAUUGCGUAGGUACAACCUAAAACUAAAUCCCGCGAGUGCGCAUUUGGAGUACCUGCUAGAAACUUUGUAGGGUUUAUUAUGAGUCGCCGAGGAAUAGAACUAGAUCCAGCAAAGGUCAAAACAAUUCAAGAACUACAACCGCCAAAGAACAAGAAGGAUGUGAUGAGUUUCUUAGGAAGACUUAAUUAUCUUAGUUGGUUCAUAGCAUAGUCUAAAUGUAUCUAUGACCCAAUAUUUAAAAUGCUAAAGAAUGAUGCUGUUACAAAAUGGACCAUGGACCACCAAAAGGCUUUUGACAAAAUCAAAGAGUACCUAUCAACACCAACAGUCCUAGUUCCUCCCGAGCAAGGUAGCCCUUUGCUGCUCUACCUUGCAGUGUUAGAUGGAGCUUUCUACUGCAUUUUAAGGUAGAAAAAUGAGACGGGGAGAAAGGAACAAGCCAUUUAUUAUCUCAGCAAGAAGUUCACUCCGUAAGAGGCCCGAUAUUCUCUGUUAAAAUGCAAUUGAUGUGCUAUGACUUGGGUAGCUCAAAAGCUGAGACAUUACUUCUGUGUCUAUACUAUGUACCUCAUACUAGCAAGCUAGCCAAGUGGAAAAUCCUGUUAAACGAGUUCAACUUACUCUAUGUAACUUAGAAGGCAGUCAAAGGACACGCACUGGCAGACAACCUUUUUGAAAACCCCAUGGAUGGAGAGUAUGAACCUUUGAAAACAUAUUUUCCUGAUGAAGAUGUAUCAUUCAUAGGAGAAGACAUUGAGGAAUCCUAUGAUGUUUGGAGAAUGUUCUUUGAUGGAGCAACAAACUUCAAAGGAGUUGGCAUAGGAGCAUUCUUGGUAUCAGAAACCAGUCAGCAUUAUCCAGUGUUUUCCAAACUCAGGUUCCCCUACACCAACAAUAUAGCCGAUUACAAAAGACUGCAUUUUAGGGCUCAAGAUAGCCAUUGACAUGAACAUUCAAGAGUUAUAUUGAUUGAGGAUUCAGCCUACUCAUACAUUAGGUGCAUACAGAAUGGGAAACUAAGAACUCCAAGAUACUCUUAUAUUUGCAUCAUGUAUAGGAAUUAAGAAAGAGGUUCGCGAGGACGGAGUUCUAGCAUGUUCCUAGAGUUCAGAAUGAGUUCACCGAUGUAUUGGCUACCCUGUCAUCUAUGAUACAACAUCCAGACAAGAAUUUCAUUAAUCCCAUUUCAGCAAAUAUCUAUGAUUAACCGGCUUAUUGAGAAUAUGUUGAGGAAGAAGCGGACGGAAAGCCUUGGUUUCAUGAUAUGAAGUAAUAUUUUGAAAAAGUAGAAUACCCAGAGCUUGCAAACCCUACUAAGAAACACACACUUUGGAUACAGUCCAACAACUUCUUUCACAGUGGAGGAAUCCUGUAUAGGAGGACUUCUGAUAUAGGAUUAGCAAGGUGUGUCGACGCAAAGGAAACAUCCAAGCUACUUGAGGAUAUUCGUGGUGGGACUUGUGGUCCACAUACGAACGGAUUUGUUUUAGCAAAGAAGAUACUUCAGGCUAUUUUGGAUGACUAUGGAAAUAGGCUUCAUCAUGUAUGUUUGGAAAUGUCCUUGCUGUCAAAUACAUGCAAACAUGAUAAAGGUACCUCCAAGCAAGCUCAUUGUGGUCGUUUGCCGCUUGGGGAAUGGAUGUUGUUGGUUCAAUUGAGACUGCUACUUCUAAUGGACACAAGUUUAUCCUAGUGGCAACUGACUAUUUCACCAAGUGAGUUGAAGUAUCAUGUUACAGAGCAGUGACUAAGAAGGUCGUGGCAGACUUUGUUCGCGACCGCAUUGUUUGUCGAUUCGGUAUUCAAGAGUCAAUCAUUACGGAUAAUGGGUCCAAUCUCAGUUGCGACUUGAUGAAAGCCAUGUGUGAGACUUUCAAGAUCUGACACAAGAAUUCCACAGCGUAGAUGCCUCAAAUGAAUGGAACCGUAGAAGCAGCCAACAAGACUAUCAAGAAGAUAUUGAGGAAAAUAAUAGAGAAGAAUAAAUAGUGGCAUGAGAAGUUAUCAUUUGCUAUAUUAGGGUAUCGCACCACAGUCCGCACAUCAAUUGGGGCAACCCUCUAUAUGGUGGUUUAUGGUACAGAAGUUGUCAUUCCCGUCGAAGUAGAAAUUCCUUCGUUGAGGAUCAUACAGGAUGCUUUGCUCAACAAUGCAGAGUAAGUGAGGAGUCGAUACGAGCAGCUAGCUCUUAUGGAAUGAGAAUGAACGUAGUUUUCUAUGGUCAACACUAUCAGAACAUAAUCUCUAAAGCCUUAAACAAAAGAGUCAAACUGAGACAGUUCACACCAGGGCAACUGGUGUUAAACAAUUUCUUUCGCAACAGGACAAAGCCAAUGGGAAGUUAUCUCCCAACGGGAAGGUUUUCAACAUAGUUCACUGGGUUUUGACAGAAUGAGCCCUCAAACUUACAGAAAUUGACGGAGAAGUCUGCCAAAGCAUAUUAAUUCAGAUGCAGUCAAGAGUUACUAUGUGUAAUCUUUAUGUUUUUCCUAUAAGAUGUAAAUUGAACUAAGCCUGACUUGAUUCCCGUUUAAGAGGGAUAUGUAGGAAGCCCUAUGGGUUUGGUCACAAUUCAAUAAAAUUUUCAUCCCCUCCCCCUCACCUUCCCGAAAUUGGAAAUUAGGGUCGAAUUUUGAGGAGGACCCUUAAAAUUCCAAAGUAAUUUCAGGCGAUCGUCACACGAGCAUUAGUCAGAAAUGUCAUCCAAGCAAACUAUGGCAGAAUUUUGAGUUGGACCCUCAAAAUUCCGUAGCAAGAGAGGUUGCAAUGUUCUAAAUUGCGUCACAGUCUUCUGUUCAUCUAAUAACUAUUUUAAUUAUACGUUUAUAUUAUACUUUGACAAAAUCAUUCAUAUCAUCGAAAUUUCUUUGUUUAGCAAUGCUACCCCAAUAAGGAAGAAAUAUCACCAGAUCAAAACCGAACGAGUCAAGCAAAGUCAGCGGGGAUGCGAACUAACCUUCCCCUUUAUAAAACUCAUGAUUUUUCUUUAGAUGCAGGCACUAGGAUUAUAAAAUCAUUGAAACAUAUUGCAUAAUCAUGAAACAAAUAUCUUUCAAGAACAUAAUUCUCUAAACCAUCGCACUUACCGAUAUUUGCUAUCUGGACAGCAGUGAUGGCCCGUAUGUCACAAUGCUCCCAGUAACCACAAUGCCGCAAUAUGCUAUUAGCUAAGAUACUCUACUGUCAUUUGCUAUUUUAUCUCUUGCAUAUGGCUACUAUUCAGCUUUUCAAUUUGCAUAAGGCUACUAUUCUGCCUUCCGAGGUUAAACUCCACCUCUAUUUGCAUCUGUAUUGCAUAAGGCUACUAUUCUACCAUUCAACUUGCAUAAGGCUACUAUUCUGCCUUCCAAUUUGCAUAAGGCUACUAUUCUGCAUUCAAAUUUACAUAAGGCUACUAUUCUGCCUUCCGAGGUUAAACUCUACCUCUAUGUGCAUCACAUUCCAUAAGGCUACCAUUCUGCCAUCCCAACUACAUAUGGAUACUAUUAUGCCUUCCAAGACUAAAUGUUGUCUCUGCCCACAUUUGCACGGCUAAAAGAUCGCCACAUUUGCAUGGCUGAAAGAUUGCCACAUUUGCACAGCUAAUAGAUCACCACAUUGCACGGCUAAAAGAUCGUCACAUUGCAUGGUUGAAAGGUCGCCACAUUUACACGGUAGAAGGAUCACCAAAUUUGUACGGUUGAAAAAUUUCCACAUUUGCAGGGCUGAAAGAUCACCAUAUUGCACGACUUAAAGAUCACCACAUUGCACGGAUGAAAGAUCACCACAUUUGCACGGUUGAAAGAUCGCCACAUUUGCACGACUGAAAGAUCUCAACAUUUUCACGGCUAAUAGAUUGCCACAUUUGCACGACUCUGCCCACAUUUGCACGGUUGAAAGAUCGCCACAUUUGCACGACUGAAAGAUCGCAACAUUUGCACGGUUGAGAGAUCGUCACAUUUGUACGGCUGAAAGAUUGCCACAUGCUACUGCAUUCUUCAUAGGAUGAAAUAUCACCAACCUAUCUAAAGGCAUCAUCAUUCGGAGGCACCAUUCUCAUAGCCCGAGAAAACCAUGUCAUGGCCUGAGGAUCCUUUCAAUCUCUUGCAUGUCAUUAUUCAAAGGCAUCAUGGUUUGGAGGUACCAAUUUCAUAGACCGAGAGCAUCACUUCAUAGCAUUCGAAUCCUUUAUUAUAAACUUUAUGGCCCAGGACACCAUGUUCUAAAGACGUUAUCCUAACCAUCCGAAGACAACAUUCAUUGUCCGAUGGGAAUUUGCAUCAAAUCUAAAUUUACGCAUAAUGUAUGCUUGUAUUAUUUAUUUACAGGUAAACCGAUAAGCAGCAACCGUCCUGGAAGGAGCAUUUUUGCUCCAGUGCCUGCAACCACAUCAAACAAAGCCAUUACCAUAAUCUUAUCACUCACCCUAACCGAAACAUUGCGUCCGUUCUUAGAAAGUACCAACUGGCAUACUCCGCUAGCAGAUCCUGAACUACAUACGGCCUGAUUCUUGUAAAACCAUGGAUAUGUAGGCAUCUUAGAAGCCAGGGCGUGGCAUAUCUUCUUCAAACUAUUUCGUUCGGUCAAAAUUGAUCAUCAUAUCUGUACCUGACAACUCUUUCAUCCUUCUCAAGUAAAGAGGGGCAACUGUUGAUAACUAGUUUUUUCCUAUAUAUAUUAUAAUAUGCUAAGUAGUUUGAAAAUAUCAUAUAUAUGUAUAUAUAAUGUAUGUCCAAGUGUUUCUUUAUUUUUCCUUAAUUUUUAAAUGUUUUUAAAUCAAUUUAUUCCCCUAUUUUAUCCGUAAAAAACCAAUUAUAAUUUCUAAAAUUAUCAAUUUUGGUGAUUCACUUGUUGAACUUUCAUAUUUAUACUAAAAUAUAUAUAAGGAAAUUUUUUCAUAUUUUUAAAAAAUUAUUUAAUAUUUCUUAAAGCUAAAUUGCAUAAUUUCAACAUUAGCCUCUUAUAGGAUUUAAUUGCUUUUAUGUUUAUUAAGAUUAAGUCCAGUAUUUUUGAAUGGUUAAUUAUAUGUUAUAAAUCAUUCUAGUUCUUUAAAUUUAUUUCCAGAAAUUAAUUUGCUAUAUUUUAUAAAAUAAAGAGGGAAAAUGGCUAUUUAGAAUAUAGCCAGAUUUUAUUUCAAUAAUAGCCCUAAUUGAACCCAAUUUGAACCCAAUUUCCACUGGCCCUAUUCCUUUUAAAUCCGAGUCUUACCAAUUUAACAUACCCAACCAGGUCUAUUACCUAACCCUUUCAAUCCCAAUCGUUGUUCAUUUAGAUCAACAUCUCUCGUUCCCCCUUACCUUUUUAGCCCCAAACAACCCCAAAACCCUUUAAUUUCUGACCCACCACAGCCCUUGAUUCCCCUUCUCUCUCAAAUCUCGCUGAAACACCUACAAACCGUAGUAGCCGGCAUCAAACUACAACUUAAUCCAUGUCCUUCCGGGGUCAUUUGAGACUUAUACCAGCCUUCCAUGGUUUCUAUGUGUUUGGUUCUAUGGUUACAUGACCAGACAUCAAAGGAGUUCGGUGCAGUAAUUGAUCAACUUGUGUUCAUAGCCUUUCUCUGGCCAAUCACGGCCUUUGGAUGCGAUUCCUUGAUCUUUUCUAGUUAGAUCGUUACCUUUCAAGACCUUUCUCAUUUCUUUUGGGUUUUCUGAAUCCCUAAUCUCUAAGAUCUUUCUAGUUCUUUCAUGUUCAGCUUUAGAUCUGUACUUGGUGUGACUUUCUUGAGUGUCUCUUGAAGGUUCUUUAACUUGCUUUCAAAACGGCUCUUUUGUUACAUAUACAAAAUUCCUCGAAAGAGAUAUAGAGACUUAUCAUUUUCAAAAAACUAAAUCCCCAAAUAGGACUGGGGGUUAAAAUUGCAUACCAUUAAAAGAACAAAAAAGAAGAGAAGUUAUAUGCCAUAAACUUUCAUUGAGGGGUUGAAGAAGGGUCUAAAACAGUAUCACCAGCAACAGAAGGUUCGAGUGUCUUAGAGGAGUUGGAACACUCAUUGUACCUAUAUCAUCUUCAACAUGCUCGAGAGUAUCAGCCAUGGGAGAAGGAAAGUCUUGGCAUUGCCGAGUUUUGUCAAUAGCCUCUUUUAUCUUAGAUAACUCAGUAUCCUAGUUGAAACCUUCUUGGCUAGCUUCCACAAGGGUAUCAUGGCGUGUAUUUAAAAUCAGCCAACUCACUUCAAUAGCAGUUUUGUCCUCAAGAAACUCAUAAUCUCUCUCCCAGUGAUCAAUCUCAUUUUUACCUAUUUAUUCUUAGCCAAGGUAGAAUCAUUAGAAGCUUGCAAAGGAGCGAGUGAAAUUUCUAAAAAAAACUAAGCUUAUUAGAAGACUCAACGGAGAUCUUCUUGGAUCCGAGUAAGUGUUUGCACGAGUUCACCGGCGUAAAACUCUUUCUUACUUAGAAAAGACUUCAAUUCUCUGAUCUCUUCACUAGCAUUGGAGAGUUGCUCAGAAAAAAAAUGUCUUGAGGAUAUUUUUAUCUUUGUCCGCUUUAUUUGAAGAAGCCUUCUCAACAGCUAACUCUAAAGUCAGAACCUUCAACAGCUGCUCUAAGGUGCACUUGUUUUCUUCUAAUGCUUCCAUAUCAAUUUGAAGGCUUUCAUAUUGUUGUCUUCAGUUAUCUACUUCAACAUGAUAAUCGUGCAUUAACUACUCCUUGUGGGAAUCCUCUUCAUCAUUUAUAUGCCAAAAAGAUUGAUCAAAAGUGUGGNNNNNNNNNNNNNNNNNNNNNNNNNNNNNNNNNNNNNNNNNNNNNNNNNNNNNNNNNNNNNNNNNNNNNNNNNNNNNNNNNNNNNNNNNNNNNNNNNNNNNNNNNNNNNNNNNNNNNNNNNNNNNNNNNNNNNNNNNNNNNNNNNNNNNNNNNNNNNNNNNNNNNNNNNNNNNNNNNNNNNNNNNNNNNNNNNNNNNNNNNNNNNNNNNNNNNNNNNNNNNNNNNNNNNNNNNNNNNNNNNNNNNNNNNNNNNNNNNNNNNNNNNNNNNNNNNNNNNNNNNNNNNNNNNNNNNNNNNNNNNNNNNNNNNNNNNNNNNNNNNNNNNNNNNNNNNNNNNNNNNNNNNNNNNNNNNNNNNNNNNNNNNNNNNNNNNNNNNNNNNNNNNNNNNNNNNNNNNNNNNNNNNGGGGGGGGGGGGGGGGUAUGAACCUUAAUAGGAAAAGGAUAUAAUUAAGUGUGAAAGGAAACAAAUACAUUUAAAGAUGAGUGCACAAUUUCAUUCAUCCAAGUCAAAAAGUUGUAACUCUCAAGCUUGGAUUUCUCAACUAGACCGAUAAGAGGUAUUAACCACACAUCAACCCGACCUAAUUUCCUCAAAAGAUUACCAUUGACAGGAACCUCGAUGAUAAUUUGCUUCAUAGCUCCACUUCCACAUGAAGGAUCGACCUUAGUAUGAGGAACAAUAGUAAGGGGAACUCUGGAAGUAGUCAAAAUAGUUUGGAGAGGAGCAGUAACGGUAGCAGUAACAAUUGGUAAUGAAGAUAUCAUGGGAGAAGGAAUGGAAAAUUAGGAAAGAUGCACUUCAUCAGAAACAAAGCCCAAAUUGCAUCUGUCAAACCCACGAGCAAAAAGUUGAUCUUCAGAGAGCAACUAUAGGGGUGUCAUCAUCCGAAACCACCAUUGUGGCUUCAACAGGCUCAGUGAUGGGAAUAGAAUGGGGAGGAGAUGCUUCAUCAUAUAAAAAGACACGUCUUGUGGCUCGAGGCCUUUUUAUCAAAGAGCCGCCAUCUUGUUCCUCCUCUUCUUCAAAAUGUUUAAUUAUCGCAACCUUCCUUUUUGAUCAAGAACUGUCAUGACCUCAAACCGGACCGAUCAUGAUGGCGCCUCUCAUGAAGACAAGGCCAGCUGACACAACACCCAUAGCAGCCCUUCAAUCAUAAAGAGUCAUUUUAAAACCUUUAAUUAAACAAUAUUUCAUAAUAUAAGUCUGAAUAAAAUGCAUAAAUAACAUACAAGCCCGACAUCGGGGAGUCACUAGUCAUGAGAAUCUGUGAAGGUCUGAAUGCAACAAGAAGUCUAAAAUAAUGUACUACAUACAGUAAUGGCAAUUUGAGGAAGGGAGCGGUGCGACGAACAUCAUACAACCACCUUGCUAAUUCGGAUGACUCCACGUCUGAGCAAGUCAACAGCCGCUAGCGGGCUCCAAUAUACCUGCAUCUACACACGAAGGGCAGGGAGUAACGUAAGUACCCCAAACCAGUAAGUAAUAAGAGUAAAUAAAUACUGAGCAGUAUAAGUGUAAAUAAAAUGUGAAAAUAACAUACAAACCCGACAUCGAGGUGCCACUAGUCAUAUGCAUCUAUCAAGGUCUAAAUGCAACAAGAAGUCCAAAAUAAAGUACUAAAUAUAGUGAUAGCAAUGUGAGGAAGGGAGUAGGUCUACAAACGUCAUGCAACCACCUUGCUAACUUUAAUGAUUCCGCGUCUGAGCAAAUCAACACUCGCUACCAGGUUUCGAUAUACAUGCAUCGAGGUUUAGGGAGUAAUGUGAGUACUCCAACCUAGUAAGUAAUAAGAGUAAAUAAGUGAGCAAUAGGAAAUAAUGAAUCUUCAUUCAGGUUAGGCUCAAUAAACACGACAUGCUUUCAAAUCAUAAUGUGAGUCAAUCUUCCCUUUUAAAAUCCAUCUUUUAGUAAAAAUCAUUUUGAAAUAUUUUCCAGCAGUUUCAAUAGGUUCAAUACCAUUUAAAAUAAUAAAAGAGAUUAAAGCCAUAAUCUCUAUGGACACUUCAUAACAUAAAAUAGCCUCUCGGGCAAAAACAGUAAUCAUAUACACUUCAUAAAAUAAAAACCUCGAUGGAAAUAACCAAAUGAUAAAUUAGUGAUUAAUUUCUGAAUAGCUCAUAAAUCCCAGUUUAAAUAAGAGUUGUUUUAAAACAUUUGCUCGACAUUUAGGCAGAGGUGAUCAAUAUAAAAAUGAGUGAAAACAGUCACUAAUUCAACAUAUUCAAUAGAGACUCACAUUAAAGAGGAGUGAUAUCAACAAGUUCACCAAUAGGCCUCUCAGGCAAAGCAUCACUCAUGUGCAUGUGUAUAUAUCUAAUAUCUCUUGGGCUAGAUUCUCUAUCACUCGUGACUCAUAUCUUACCAAUCAAUACUCGCACUCAACAUUCAUGAUAAAUAUGUACCAUAUAGUAACUGUUGCGGCAUGCAGUCCAAUCCGUAUGUUGUUGUAGCAUGCAACCCGAUCCAUAUAUAUCAUCGACGGUGCUCACUGGGGUGUGCAGACUCCGAGAAGGGCUCAUAUAGCCCAAGCGCUAUACCGUUGUGGCGUGCAACCCGAUCCAACAUAUCGGUGCGACGUGCAACCCGAUCUAUAUAAGUAUUGUUGCAGCGUGCAGCCCGAUCCNNNNNNNNNNNNNNNNNNNNNNNNNNNNNNNNNNNNNNNNNNNNNNNNNNNNNNNNNNNNNNNNNNNNNNNNNNNNNNNNNNNNNNNNNNNNNNNNNNNNNNNNNNNNNNNNNNNNNNNNNNNNNNNNNNNNNNNNNNNNNNNNNNNNNNNNNNNNNNNNNNNNNNNNNNNNNNNNNNNNNNNNNNNNNNNNNNNNNNNNNNNNNNNNNNNNNNNNNNNNNNNNNNNNNNNNNNNNNNNNNNNNNNNNNNNNNNNNNNNNNNNNNNNNNNNNNNNNNNNNNNNNNNNNNNNNNNNNNNNNNNNNNNNNNNNNNNNNNNNNNNNNNNNNNNNNNNNNNNNNNNNNNNNNNNNNNNNNNNNNNNNNNNNNNNNNNNNNNNNNNNNNNNNNNNNNNNNNNNNNNNNNNNNNNNNNNNNNNNNNNNNNNNNNNNNNNNNNNNNNNNNNNNNNNNNNNNNNNNNNNNNNNNNNNNNNNNACACACACAUAUAUAUAUAUAUAUAUAUAUAUAUAUAUAUAUAUAUAUUGCUGUGGCGUGCAACCUGAUCAAACGAUGUAUAAUCCUCAACUAGGCCCUCGGCCUCUCUCACUCAUUAACAUUACCAUCAGACUCUCAGUCUAUAUCUGUCAUCAAUCUCACCAUCAGACCUUCGAUCUAUCUCUGUAAAACAUGGAACUCAGCCAAAACAGUUUCCACACUUUUAAAAAUAUAGUGAUAAAGCCGGAUCUGAAUAAUAAACAGGUAAAACAUGACCGAGGAUAUGUUUUCAAACAAGUAGAGUAAGGAAAGAUAGAAACAAUUCCCCUAAAGGUCUCAACAAGUCGGCACAAAGCCCCAAACAUGGCAUACAACCAAAAAUAUAAUAACAUUCAAACAAUGAACUAACAAAUACGCAUUAAAAUAAUCGUUAGGGAUGGAUUAUUGCAAAAUCCCCAGCGGCGCUCUACCCCACGCUUGUCCUCUAGCGUGUAAGUCACCUCAAAUUAAUAUAACAACAUGAAAUCCAGUUUUUCAGACCCUUAGGAUAGUAUUUACAAUCAUUACUUUACUUGACCUGGCGAAGUCCCUAGCUCGCGACGCCUUUGUCCCUCAAAUUAGCCUCCACGCACAUCGAAUCUAUCAAAAAUCGGAGCGAAUACAUCACAAUAUGCCAAGGGAAUAAAGCCCAAGCGAAAACAAUCAAUAACGAACACAAAUCCCAAAAUUACAAAAACCUGAGCCUCGGGCCCACUUCUCGAAACACAGAAUUUUUCAGAUCAACAGGUUCCUUAUCCUUCCACGAGUUCAUACAUACAAAAAGUUCUAAAACCCGACCUCAAAUGGUCUAUCAAAUCUUAAUUUAAAAGUCCAAUUUCUCAAGCCCUAGUUCUUUUAUUUUAGGCUUAGUUUCCAUGAAUGUAUAGGUGGAUUUCACUAUAAAAAUGAGUAUUGAGGUCGAAAAUCUUACCUACAGAUGAUUCCCCUUGAAUCCCUCUUCUAUUAGCUCUCACAAGCUCUAAAAUUGACAAACAAUGAAGGAACUUAACCUCCAAUUUGUGGAAAUGGGCUUUUAAAACAUUCUGCCCAGCACUAACUUUUACUUAAUCGCGAUAUCUGAAAAUCCCACGCGAUCUCAAAGCACAACCGACAAUUACACAAUGCGAUCGCGUACUCCCUCACGCGAAUGUGGUGCUUAGAAUCUCCCAAGUACGCGAUUGCAAAUGGUGACAUGCGACCGCGAUUGAUAGCAAUGCAAAACUGCGCGAUCACGACCUGAUCUAUGCAAAUGCGAAGAGAAUACCUGGAUGCCCCUAAAAUAACUCUAUGCGAUUGCGAGUCUCCUCACUCGAUCGCGGAGCUAGAGCAAAAAUCUGCAAUUUUUUAGAAUUUUCCAAACAUGAAAUGGUCCGAUUGACCACCGGAAACUCACCCGAGGCCCUCGGGACCUCAACCAAACUACCAAUAGAAUCCAUAACAUUUUUCAAGAUUAUUCCAAGCAUCAAUACACAUCUGAAACAUCAAAUUACUCAAAACCCAUCGAAUUGAAGCCUAAGUUUUCAAAAACAUCCGAAAUACGCUUUCGAUCAAAAACUCAACCAAACCACGUCCGAAUCACCUGAAAUUUGCACGCACAUCACAUAUGACAUAACGAAGCUAUAGAAACUCUCAAAAUUCCAUUCCGACCCUCAGAUCAAAAUCUCAAAUCAUAAUUCACCCAAAUCAAGCCUAAUUCUACACCGGACCUCCAAAACCAAUUCUGAUCGGGCUCCUAAAUCAUAAUUCACCCAACGAAGUGAGCUCACAUACAAAUAAAUCAACUCUUUGUCAAACCUUUCAAAUUCAUUCCGAUUUUUCUGAAACCAAAGCCAACGAUCUACAUCAAUCAUGAUAUAUUACACGGGUCAAGCCGUCCCGGAGAAUUGGCGAUCAAAGUGCAAAAGCUCAAAACGACUGGUUGGGUCGUUACAUCCCCCCCAACUUAAAAACACGUUCGUCCUUGAACGUACCCAUAGUUAUUUUAGAAGCCAACCACUAGCUUAAUAACCAUUCCAUGAAUAUAGCCAGGGGUGAUCCCACGUCACCCUAUCCAUAGAGGUUCCAUGACAUAUUUUAACAGAAAUUACAUAAUCCAGUCUAGCCCAUAAAUCAUAGAACCACAUUUUCUCUUCUAAAAGCAUCGAUAUGAUUAAAACCUCACACCCAUAGUCUGAGUAGGCGCAAACCAACUGCAAUAACCUAUGCCUGCAACCUCAAGUGCAAUUACCUAAUUUACCACAUAACUCAAACGCUCACAGCGAUAACUUAUAAUCACAGAAGCUGCACAUAACAACCGAAUACUGAGAGAAAACCUCUUAAUAACUAAAGUCUCAUUUCAACACUGAUAAAUACUGCAAGUGGUAAAUGAAAGACGCGAUAAACCAUAACCAUUUUUUCUCAGGUCACCCAUUCAUGAAGCCACUUCUCCUCUGAUGAAUACCAUGGAAAUCUCUGACCUGAAUCCCGAUAUUUAUCUAUCAAAUAUGUUUAAAUCGAACCCGUUUGUAUUCAUUAAGGACCCCAACAAUCUCAUCUAAUCCAACACAAUUACUCUAGCGACAUGGCACAUCAAAAUAGAAUAAAGCCACAACUUGCGCAGUCUGCGCACCGAUAAGCAACAAUCCGAGCAUACUCACAUCAUGAAACUAACUCAAUUGAAAGAGCUGUACCUCAAGCUCACCAGUACAAUCACAACACAUGGUUGAGAACCCGUCUCACAUAAUAGAAAUAGAACACACUAGUCUAACCUACAAGGUCAUAUUUCCAUAUAGCUUCGCUACCAUGCUCGAUCCUAUCCAAAUACUGCUCCACAUAGAAUACCUCAAGUCAUUAUGCACGAAAUCGGCAACCACGCUCAAUUGAUGUAUGGAAUUAAAGCAAAUCGUUACACUCACGGUGAAACAAAUGAAAUACGCCAUGCAAACCCCAUAGGACAUAACAAUACGUCAUUCAUCAAGCAACUACCAAUUACUCUUCCCGCUCGACUUCUGUUAUGAAAUUACGAUAGAACCGCACCAUAGGUGCCUAUAACCAACAUAUCAUAAUAUCUCACAACACAGAAAAGUAACUCAUAGAUCCCCUAAUUGCUCAUAUUUCAAAUAAAUCGAGUCAACACAUCCUUCGCCAACAGGAACUCGAAAUCAACAAAAUCAUCUCGAUGUCGGACACAUAUCUGUAUAGGUCUACUAAUGGACCACUCAUCAACUCCAGCUACACACAACAAAUAAAUAAUCAUUCGAAGGUCCACAAUGACUCAAUCAUAGCACAUACUAAGAUCUGACUAACUUACCCAUAUUUUGCCAUCCACAACCAUAAGCUAACCUCCAUAUGAGACUUCUAAUCUCCAAGUCCAUAAAACACGCUAAUUACCAUAUCUGAUUCCAAUUACGCCACUCACAUAUAUAAAUCACCUCUAGUACUAAAUCAUUCCAUGAGAAAUACUCUAAGAUUCUUCCGCGCUUCUAAACAAACUCUAAUAUCAGUAAUCGGUCUAACAAGAAGUGUUGUAAUACUACCAAAGUACCAUCAACUUAAUCACAUUGCCUCUUUCUGAAACAUAUACCCUUGUAAAAUUACCUCAAUUAGCGUUACCAUUUCCUUAAUCAUCAGAAGAUCAUUUCUCAACUCAUUUGAAGCUCAUUUCUAUAUUUAUUUCAAAUUGCUCGUGCUGCCUAAGAAUUUAUGACCUCCUAUUCAAAUCUUAACUAUGACCUUACACAUGAAAAUAUCAAUCUUACACAACAUACCGCAUAAACCGUGCAGUCCGAGGAUAACAUGAAAACUUUAUCUUCCUUCCGAGUCACAAACACCUAUGCAUUCAACUAGUCAAGAAUAUUCCAUUGGUCACAUCUAGGAGAAAAAUUACUAUACAUCCCAUGCUCUGCAUGCCCAUAGAAAAUAUACGUCUCCAAACCACAAUAUAACCCAUCAAGAACUCUCUGAGUUCCUUUUGCACAAAUCGGACCAGUCAGGACUGAAUCCUUCCAACUUGAUCAAGCUAAGCAAGGCAUCAAAACCUAAGAGCAUUGCCGCAAAAGACUAGUAGAAACUCAUUACCUCGAACACACACAAGGAACUAAUCAUAUCCUUCCCUUGCUGGUCCGAUAUACUAUCAUGCUAUUUCAUCUUCAACUUGAUAUUCCCUCUUGUUGUUGCACCACAAUUCAUCAAUACUUCACUCUGAAGAACUUCUUGUGAAUCUAAAUCUAUUACCUUUACCUUCAUGUUACGUAUAAAAUCCCAUAAUUAACGUAGAAACAUUGCAUGUCUUGAACCCUUCCAAUGAAAACUCAAUUUCUAGUCAUAUAUAUGACUUUAAGAUACCCAAUUUCUACAUGUAGAAUCAUGAACACAUUAGAACCACUCUCUAGGGUCAUUCUCUCUAUUAAAACUGCAAUCAACUAGAUCAACAUAAUCGAGCAACAAGUGCCUCAUUGGCACUUUAGACAUUGCACCAUAUAACCUUAUCAUAGUCAACAAUUUUCCUUUACCUAAGCCAUCAUGAAGCUCAGUCUCUGCACCCCAGAACUAAUCCACCAGCAUGCCUCAACCGGAACUAACCUAGCACAUAAUUGUACAAUCAACCAAUCAAUAGCAACUCCCCAACUUGGCGCGAAGCCAUAGAUCAAAACACACACAAUAAUUCAUAACUCAAACACUUUAUUGAUGCCAUAAUAUCAUAGUGAUAUUAAACUCAAUCCUUCAUAAGCUCGUGAAACACAGACCAUCUGGUACUUUAAAUCUUUUGCAAAUCUCGCAUUCAUCCUCGCAACAGUCAAGCGCACUCUCUUAAGCAACCCAAAUUUAAAUUUCAACACAUAUUUUUCACUUGUAAAUGAGAUCUUCUAACAUACAACAGAAGGAUCACACCACUUCAGAACAUAACCCACCUGUUUUGCCUUCAACUAACAUUCCUGCACACCUUCCACCGUCACAAAUAUUAUGCAAUCACUUAGCCUUCCUAAGUCUGAAGUUAUGUCGUAACAUUAAAUUUACUUCACUCCCAACUACAAAACAUGAAAAGAUUUUUCAUACACCCAUAACUCGAGGCUAUACCUCGAAUCACGAUGUAAUUCAAGCACCUAAUAGUUUUUCUAUCCUCUAGCAGACCCUUCUCGUCGUUUUCCAAAUCAUAUGAAUAUAACUCGCAGUACUAAAAUACUCAUCAUAUAGCUAUCCAGACAUGAUUCCUACUAAUAGGGACAAUAUCGUACCUAUAAUUUCGAAGCACAUACUCACACAAUCAGCACUUAGUGCACAAGCCAUAAGCAAAGAUUUGGCCUCAAGUCCUCUGGUCUGGCCCAACAUCAACUCACAGAGAUCACAUCUGGCCCUUUGAUAGAAAAUUACAAGCCAUUAAGGCACAUUUGAUACUGUGCGCUCAUGCGUGCAUACGAACGCGUGGAAGGAAUUUCAAGGAGUCCCUUUUCAAGCUAAAUCAAGGACGCACGCUGAGAAUUCAAGAAUAUGAAACUUUCCUAAAGGUUCCGAAACCUCUCUAGGAUAAAUACAGACGUCUCUGUACCAAUCUGCGAGACUCUACUAAACCUGCUCAUGACUCGUGAGACCUAGUAACCUAGGCUCUGAUGCCAUGUUGUCACAACCCUAAACUGGCCCGAUCGUGUGCCUCUCAUGAAGACAAGACCAGCCAACGAAAAACCAUAGCAACCCUUCAAUCAUUAAAUGUCAUUUUAUAUAUUUAAGUGAAUAAUAUUUCGUAAGAUAAGUGUAAAUAAAAUGUGAAAAUAACAUACAAACCCGAAAUCGAGGUGCCACUAGUCAUAAGCAUCUAUCAAGGUCUGAAUGCAAUAAGAAGUCUAAAAUAAAGUACUAAAUAUAGUGAUAGCAAUGUGAGGAAGGGAGAGAGUCUACAAACGUCAUGCAGCCACCUUGCUAACUUUAAGGAUUCCGCGUCUGAGCAAAUCAACACUCGCUACCUGGUUUCGAUAUACCUGCAUCGAGGUUUAGGGAGUAAUGUGAGUACUCCAACCUAGUAAGUAAUAAGAGUAAAUAAAGAAUGAGCAGUAGGAAAUAAUGAAUCUUCAUUCAGGUUAGGCUCAAUAAGCACGACAUGCUUUCAAAUCAUAAUGUGAGUCAAUCUUCCCUUUUAAAAUCCAUCUUUUAGUAAAACUCAUUUUGAAAUAUUUUCCAGCAGUUUCAAUAGGUUCAAUAAAAUUUAAAAUAGUAACAGAGAUUAAAGCCAUAAUCGUUCCCUCGGGCAAAGAAUAGUUCGUAAAACAGCCCCUCGACCAAAAACAAUAAUCAUACACACUUCAUCAAAAAAACUUCAAUGGAAAUAACAAAAUGCUAAAUCACUGAUUAAUUUAUGAACAUCUUAUAAACAUCAAUUUAAAUAAAAGUUUUUUAAAAAUAUUUGCUCGACAUUUCAGCAGAAGCUCAAUAUAAUAAUGAGUGAAAACAGUCACUAAUUACACAUAUUCAAUAGAGAUUCACUUUAAAUAGGAGUGAAUUCAACAAGUUUAUAAACAGGCCUCUCAGGAAAAGCAUCAUUCAUGUGCGUGUAUAUAUAUCUAAUGCCCUCAAGCUAUCCUCUCCAUCACUUAUGACUCAUCUCUUACCAAUCAAUACUCGCACUCAACAUUCACACUCAAUAGGUACCACAUAGUAACCACUGCAGCGUGCAGUUCGAUCCAUAUAUCAUUGUGGCGUGCAGCCCGAUCCAUAUAUAUCGUCGGCGAUGGUCACUAGGGGUGUGCAGACUCCGUGAGGGGCUCCUAAGACCAUAGCGCUAUAUCGUUGCGUCGUGCAACCCGAUUCAUGUAUAUAUAUAUAUAAAUGUAUUAAUGCAGCGUACAGCCCGAUCCAGAGAUGUACAAUCCCUACAACUAGGCCCUUCGCCUCUCUUAGUCAUCAAUCUCACCAUUAGACCCUUGGUCUAUCUCAGUAAAAUAGGGAACUCAGCCCAAAGAGUUUCCACACUUUUAAGAAUAUAGUGAUAAAGUCGGAUUUGAAUACUAAACAGGUAAAACAUGACUGAGGAUAUAUUUUCAAAUAAGUAGAGUGAGGAAGGAUAGUAAAAAUGCCCUUAAGGAUCUCAAUAAGUCGGCAAAAAGCCCCAGACAUGUCAUAUAGCAAAAAAUAUAAUAACAUUAAGCAAUUAUCUAUUAAAUACGAAUUAAAAUAAUUGUUACGGAUGGACUAGGUCUAAAUCUCUAGUGGUUCUCUACCCCACGCUCGUUAUCUAGCGUGUCAGUCACCUCAAAGUAACACAACGACAUGAAAUCCAUUGUUUCAAACCCUUAGGAUAGUAUUUACAAUCAUUACUUUCCUCGAACCGGCAAAGUCCCUAGCUCACGACGCCUUUGUCCCUAAAAUUAGCCUCCAUGCACAUUGAAUCGAUCCAAAAUAGGAGUAAAUACAUCACAAUAUGUGGACACAAAUCAAUAGCGGACACAAAUCCCGAAAUUACCAAAACCCGUACCCCCGGCCCACUUCUCGAAACUCAAAAUUUUUCACAUCAACAGGUUCCUUAUCCUCCCACGAGUUCAUAAAUAUCAAAAGUUCUAAAAUCCGACCUCAAAUGGUCUGUCAAAUCCCAAUUUAAAAGUCCAAUUUCUCAAGCCCUAGUUCUUCAAUUUUAGGCUUAGUUCCCAUGAAUUUCUAGGUGGAUUCAUGGUAAAAAUGAGUGUUGAGUUCGAAAAUCUUACCUCCAUGUGAUUCCCCUUAAAUCCCUCUUCCAUUAGCUCUCCCAAGCUCUAAAAUCGACCUAAAAUUGAGCAACUUAAUAUCUAAUUCGCGAAAAUAGGCUUUUAAAACAUUUUGUUCAGCACUAAAUUUUACUUAAUCUUGAUCACGAAGAACAUCCCCCACUUACACAACGCGACUGCGUACUCCCUCGCAAAAACGUGAUGCUCAAAAUUUCCCAACUACGCAAUCGAAAAUGAUGACACACGACCACAAUUGACAGUAACACAAAACUACGCGAUCGAGACCCUAUCUAUGCGAGAACGAAGAGAAUACCCAGAUUCCCUUGAAAUAACUCUGCGUUAUAGCAAAGAGGAAACAUAUGCAGCAAAGAUGGAACUAAAACCUGCUAUUUCUGUAAUUUUUCCAACAUGAAAUGGUCCGAUUGACCACCCGAAACUCACCUGAGGCCCUCAGGACCUCAACCAAACAUACCAAAAUAAUUCAUAGCAUCAUUCAAGCUUGUUCCAAUCAUCAAAACACCUCAUACAAUGUCAAAUUACUCAAAACUCAUUGAAUUCAAGCCUAAGUUUCCAAAAAAUUCUGAAAUAUGCUUUCGAUAAAAACCCAACCAAACCAUGUUUGAAUGACCUAGAAUUUUCCACACAUAUCACAAAUGACAUAACGAAGCUACAGAAACUCUCGAAAUUCUAUUCCGACCCUCAGAUCAAAGUUUUACCGAUCAACCAGAGUUCACCAAAAUACUAACUUCGCUAAUUCAAGCCUAAUUAUACACCAGACCUCCAAAACCAAUUCUGAUCACGCUCCCAAAUCAUAAUUCACUCAACGAAGCUAACCAAAUAAUAAAAAAUUCCAAUCCGAUCUCAUAUACAAAUAAAUAAACUCUUGGCCAAACGUUUCAAAUUUAUUUUGAUUUUUUUGAAACCAAAACCAAUGAUCUACAACAGUCAUAAUACAUUACAGGGGGCAAGCUACGCCCGAUAACUUGCGAUCAAAGUGUAAAAUCUCAAAACAACUGGUGGGGUCAUUACAAGAACCCAAGAUUAUCUCUUGAGCUCUUCUAAAAGAAACUCUAGAAGGUACAACAACAUUAGUGCUUAUACCUCGAAUCGGAAAUCCUAAUAAAAAGAAGGAACAAAAUAAAUUCCAAAGGAAGAAGUAAAUUAAAAUACGAAGGAUAUAAGAGAAAAAACAUUUACCAGGAGUCUUUAUUUUCCAACCAAAGCGGUGAGAAUUCCAGGAUAUACCUUCCAUCGGAGCAACAUUCAACAACUUUCCUAUCCAACCACGGAAAUUGAGAAUCUCAUCAAUAGUUCCAUUGGUUUCUGGAAAAGAAGAGAAAGUUAAAAUUUUGGAGAACAACAUUGAUAUGAAAAGUUAUGAAAACAAAACUUAUGUGCAAAAUUCCACUUCUAAGGGAAAAAACAUUUUCUUGACCCACUAGAUCGACAGAGGGGGUAGCAACAAACCUAGCGUACCAACCAUAGUCUUUUUCAUCCUCGAGCCUAAUCAGCACUCUCUUACUUCUCGCUACUAAAGUAAAAUUCUCUUUGCGAAAAAUUUUAGGAGAGUAGAGAUGAAACAAGUGAAAGAAAGUAAAAGGCUAACAAACCAUUGUUGAUACCCAAUUUUUUUCUAUGUAUUUUUUACAUACAAAUGCUUUCAAAAUAGCAUAUAUAUAUAUAUAUAUCCAUAUAUAAGUAUGCCCAAGUUUUUUAGUAUUUUUCCAAUUUUCUAAAGAUUUUUAAAAUUAAUUUAUUUUCCAUUUUAGUGGUACAAAAAUCAAUAAUUAAUAAAAAUUAUCCUUUUUGUGAAUAAUUUAUUUUAUUCCCAUAGUUAUGCAGAAAUAUAUGGAAAGUAAUUUUACUCAUUUUUACAAAUUUAUUUGAUAUUUUAAAAUCUAAAUUACAUAUAAUUAAAAUUCUAGCCUAUUUCAAGAUCUAAUAGCAUUUUAUAAUUAUGAAAUUUAUUGUUAUAUUUUUAAUAUUUAAUAUUUAUAUAUUAUUAGUUGACUCAGUACCUUUAAUUUAUUUUCAAAUCAUUUUACUAUGGGAAAAAACUUGCUAUUUUAAAUCUACCCUUAUUUUAUUCAAAUUAUAGCAAAAAUUGGCCCCCCUAAUUGGCCCAAUUUCAAACCCCUAACGAACCGGCCCAAUUUCAAUAUAACCCGACUCCCAGCAAACUAAUUAAACCCACCCGGCCUCCCCUUUAAAUCCAGGCCUUUGAUCAUUUUGAUCAACGACCAUAAUUUCCCCUUUCCUUUUUAAUUCACCCACACCCCUAACCCUAACUCAUUUCACUCAACGCCGCCUUUGAAGUCCCUCUCCUCUCAAACUCUCUCAAAAGUUCUCGAAACCCUAAAGUCUUCUACCAUUUUCAACUUCAAACUCGCUGGAAUCUGUGGCCUCUCAAGCUAUGGAUGGCCUACACUCAUCUCCCUCUGCUCUUUAAUGAUUGGUGUUCGAACUUUUGAUGUCUGACCUCGAAAGUGUCCAUUCAGGUCUUCGCCGAUUCAAGGUCCUGCGACCAUCUCUGGCCCUGCUAUGGCAUACUACGGUAUUUUGAGCCUGGUUUUGACCUUUCCGACCAAGAUUGAACCUUUUCAAAGACUUUCGUGUUUUAAGGGUUCUUCUGAAAUUCUAGCUACUCGAGGUUUUCUCUAAUUGUUUCUUAGAUUUGUUAUAUAUUUGUGCGCUACUUGAGUUUUUCAACAUUUUUUUCAAUUUUUCUUUCAAAAAUUACUUCGCUUUGAUUUAGCGUUUAUGAAAAGUUCAUAAUGUUUCUCCGACUUUUCUUUUCCUUUUUCUGUGUGUAUAUUUGUCACGCAUGUACUUCUACUGCGUUCUUAUGUUUUUCAACUAUAUAUGUUCUUCUGUACCUUAUCUUUCUACUGUGUUUCCACAAUAUACUCGCAUGUUCAUCCUGUUGUGUUUUUCCUAUAUGUCUUGUUGAUUCACUUUUCUGGUAUUUUGUGCUCUCCUAAUAUAUAUUUUUGCUACUAAGUUCUUAAGUUCUUUAUUUGUCUUUUAUUGGACCUUUGUUUGAUUUCUCUCUAAGUAUUAUUCUUCUACUAUUUUCUAGGAUGCUAUACUAUCUCUCCUCUCUUCUAAACCCCAUUUGAGUCCCAGCUUUUUCUUAAAAAUGUGCCUCAUAUUCUCAAUAUGCUUCAAAUCAAUUUCUUCACUCUGUUAUUUCAAACCUGCUUUUAUAUCUGUUAGUUUCCUCACGAGUAUUUGAAAGCAAUCUCUGAGCAUGUAUCAAUUACUUGCCUCCUGGUCUCUGUAUCUAAUUCAAAAUGGAAACCCUUGGAUUUGGGGGUUUUACCUUGUGUUUAGACCAGGGUUCUACUUUGGAACCCUUGACUCUUUUAGACUCAUUCUGAGUCUAUGAGAUGAGUUUGAAUCUCUUUUUUCACGACUCUGAACUUUUAAAUUCUUCUAUUGAUUCGCAUAAUAGUUCUUCGUGUUUAAGUGUGGAUGUAUGCUUUUAUACAUGUGAUAAAUUUUUUAUUUUGAAAAGGUUUUCCAAUUUAUGAUUCAGAAUAUUUUUUUCUAGAUUUAAUUGAUUAGUACUGAUUUUCCUUAAGUCAAGAUCAUUCCCAUCUUCCUUAACUUGUUUAUUCACAUGAAAUCUCCAAUUUAUGAUUUUAUUGGCUAUUUCCUUAUUUGUACAAACCGUGUAUUAUUAGACUCUUUCCUUAAAUAAAUCUCUAUGUAUUUACCCUUCUUGUGCUGCUUUGGAGAAGUGUCUGAUCAACCUCUUUCCUUAAUAAUUUUACACGUUUGAUAUUAGAAUCCUUUUGACUAAAAGGAAACUUGUGUAAUUGAUUAACAAUUGAUUUUUGUAAUUAAUCUCCCACCUUAUUUUUUUUAAUACACUAGGCGAGUGCCUGGUGCUAGAUUUUAUUAAUAACUGGAAGAAAAUUACAAACACUUAGGAAAAGUACAAAUAAGGGGGACAUUAUCACCGGUAUUGUUACGCACAAAUCGGGCUAACCUUACCGUGCUAAUCCUAUUGAGGCUUGGCAACCUUACUUAUAAACANNNNNNNNNNNNNNNNNNNNNNNNNNNNNNNNNNNNNNNNNNNNNNNNNNNNNNNNNNNNNNNNNNNNNNNNNNNNNNNNNNNNNNNNNNNNNNNNNNNNNNNNNNNNNNNNNNNNNNNNNNNNNNNNNNNNNNNNNNNNNNNNNNNNNNNNNNNNNNNNNNNNNNNNNNNNNNNNNNNNNNNNNNNNNNNNNNNNNNNNNNNNNNNNNNNNNNNNNNNNNNNNNNNNNNNNNNNNNNNNNNNNNNNNNNNNNNNNNNNNNNNNNNNNNNNNNNNNNNNNNNNNNNNNNNNNNNNNNNNNNNNNNNNNNNNNNNNNNNNNNNNNNNNNNNNNNNNNNNNNNNNNNNNNNNNNNNNNNNNNNNNNNNNNNNNNNNNNNNNNNNNNNNNNNNNNNNNNNNNNNNNNNNNNNNNNNNNNNNNNNNNNNNNNNNNNNNNNNNNNNNNNNNNNNNNNNNNNNNNNNNNNNNNNNNNNNNNNNNNNNNNNNNNNNNNNNNNNNNNNNNNNNNNNNNNNNNNNNNNNNNNNNNNNNNNNNNNNNNNNNNNNNNNNNNNNNNNNNNNNNNNNNNNNNNNNNNNNNNNNNNNNNNNNNNNNNNNNNNNNNNNNNNNNNNNNNNNNNNNNNNNNNNNNNNNNNNNNNNNNNNNNNNNNNNNNNNNNNAUCUUUUAUUUUUUGAACGAUUGGACUUUGAUGACGAAAUUGUAGUAGCCUGCUUUUGUUUGGCCGCUCUCAUUGGAAUUUGCCUAACAUUUGGUUUCUUUUCGGACCAUGUUCCAUUUUUCAUCAAGAUAGCACCUGACUUACUCGUUCCAAUGUGGCCAUUCGCAAUUUUGGAGGUGUAUCUAGGAAGUGAAUGCAUGUGGAAAUAGUGGGCUUACUUGGAAUGAAAUCUGGAGCCUCCCACUUGAUCUUUGAUUUUCCCUUUAAAGAGUUUUCAAGAUAUGGACUUUGAAUUUCAUCCUUGAUUACUCUUCCUUUUAAAGAGUUUUCAAGAAUGGACUUUGAAGUUCAUCCUUGAUUACUCUUUCGACUCGAUGAUUUUCAAAAAGAAAUAGUUGUUUCAGCGUAUUUUCCCGCUCCCUUUUCAAAUUUGCACAAAAAUAUCGAUGAUCUUUCCACUUAGAGACAUCGCCAGCAGCUAAAUCUUUAGUAGCAAUCAUACUAAGUUGAGUUUGAGCCCUUUCAUUCACAUUAUCCUGGUAAUUACAUUCAGUUAAAUGUCGAUCCUCAGGACAGCUAGGAACUGCAGCAACUGCCUGUGUUGACUUCUCAUGUGGUUCACAGUCUUCUCAUGUGCUGUCUUCAUCGAACAAUCCCUCUCUCCAGGGCUCUUCAUCGUCGUAUUCUCGUUGGUCUUCCCACAGUUUUGAUUUAAUGACCAUGUCCCUUAUCUUAACAGUUGGAGCAAUAUGGUUCUUGGCAGCCUGCAAAUUCUGUCCACUGCAAGUUCCAUAUUCGUUGUUAACAUUGGAGAGUGCAGAGAAUGAAUUUCUAAUUGUAUUUGAAGCUGGACUGUUAUCUGUACUUUGCAAUUUGUUUUUAGAAUUUGGAGAUAAUUCUCUGUUGGACUUGGAAGAGCAUUUAUUUGCAGUAUGUUGUGCAACUUUAAAGCUAUCUGGCUGAUCUGAAAUAUCCUGUGGAAUUGACUUCUGCUCGUUGCCUUCCUCUGGACACCUUGCUUUUAAUUGAGUUACAGCUCGAGCAUAAUGUUGCUGUCCAGAUUUGUUUGCUUCAUCCAUUGAAACAGCAGUUGUUUUAUGUGUGAAUGAACUCACAUUGCUUUUUUUAAAACUAUCUGGCUGAUUUGAGAUAUCCUGUGGAAUUGACUUCUGCUCAUUGUCAUCCUCCCAGGGCCUCCAUAUUGUUUCCAUUUUCUUGACCAAGCAUAGUAACAUUGUCAAUGUUAGAUAUCUGCUUAGACUGCUGCUGUACAAUGAACUUCUGUUUGAAACUUUUUACAUUAAAUUUUUCUGGCUUAGUAGAUGGAUCUGCAGGUUUCCAGUUUGAAGUCAUUUUUCCAUUUACUGCAUUAACAGAUCCUAGAUGCUGCAGAUUGCUCCUGUGCUGCUGUCCUUCAUGACCAAACAUCUGCCCAUUCUUUGCACUAUGACUGAUAUGGUUUACAUUGCUUUGCAUUGUCCCGGCGUUAUCUACAUUUGAUACUAUCUUUUCAUUAUCAACCAUACAAUGCAUUUUCAAUGGAACAGUGUUCUACAGUGUACAAACAAAGUCAGAAACACCCUUUAUUAUUGGCAAAGUUUCUGCAGAUGUAGCAGCUGACAAAACUUGCUGCUGUACAUUGCCCUUGAAAUGCUGUCCAUCCCUUUCGACCAAAUGCUCAGCCUGUGCACUAUUAUUGAUAUAAUCUGCAGAAGACUGUUUUUUCCCAGUAGAAUCAACAUCUGAUCGAGCAUGAAUUGUAGACUUAAGAUUGUCCAAAUUCUUCACCUCCUUCAUGGAGUCAACUGAAGAUGCUAUAUGUGAUACCUCUGCCAUUUCAGUUACUGCAGCAGUCUUCAAAAUUAAAUGUUGAUCUGUAUCAGUCCUUUCUAUCAAAGAAGUUUGAGAAAACUCAUCAUUCUGUUUCAUAACAUCUUGUACAGCUGAAUCAAAAUGACCAAAAUUCUCAUUCAAUACUGCAUUCUUUUGUGAAGUCACUGCUUCAGCAAAUUGUGCAGUGUGCUGUGCGACUUUUGUUAAUUCAACUCCUGAAUUAUCAACUUUUUCUUGCAAAUCCUUAGCUUGUUGUCCAGCUCGUUUACUAUUUAGAUAGUCCCUUGCAUCCCCUUGUAAUUUGUCAACUUCAUUCCCAUCAUUAAGAAUCAGAUCAGUAACCACAUUAUCCUCUAUUACCACAUCUACGUCGGCAUUUUCUUUUCUGAUUCUGCAGGUGCUGAAUGAGCAAUGUGCUGUGCGACUUUUGUUAAUUCAACUCCUGAAUUAUUAGCUUUUUCUUGCAAAUCCUUAGCUCGUUGUCCAGCUCGUUUACCAUUUAGAAAGUCCCUUGCAUCCCCUUGUAAUUUGUCAACUUCAUUCCCAUCAUUACGAAUCAGAUUAGUAACCACAUUAUCCUCUAUCACCACAUCUGCUUCGGCUUUUUCUUUUCUGAUUCUGCAGCUUUACGUCGUGCCCUUGAUGUUUGCAGCAAGCACAGUACUUUGGUAGAUUGUCGAAAACAAUUUGUUGAUGGAACUCGACAGUUUUACCUGAAGCAGAAUCUAAAAUCUGCAGCGUGACCUUUUUUGGAUGUUUAUUCAAAAGGUCUACUAUAACCUUAACUCUUGCCGCGCUAGGAAAACCUGAAAGACCAUGGAAAUGUUCUGAAGAAGUAUUCUUCGCCUAUGGAUUUAAUAUAUCCAGUCGACUUUGAAAGGAAGCGAACAUAAUCAUCGUACAGAUCAAAUAUGAUUAACAGAUGCCGAAAUUCCAAUUGUCCAACAUUACAGUGACCUUGAACAUCAAAUUGCGACGAGAACAUCUCUCUCACUUCCGCUAAAUCAGGUCUUCCAUAAGAGAAUUUUAGAAUAACUGUCUGAUGUAAUCCUUCUUCCUUUGUGAAUUUAUUAACCUCUUCCAUUGUGAAUUGAAUUAUAGGUUCAUCAUGAUUGUAAAUAACUGGACAUAGCUCUAUUUUAGUCGGAGUUGGCUGUUUUGCUUGUACAGUUGAAGCAUAUGAUUGUUUGAACUUAUCAUUUUAAACAUAAGCCUCUCCCACAGCCAAAGGCUGGGGAGAGGUCCGCGCAGACAUGGUUGCCGAGAUCACUACACGAUAACACAAUUCAAUUCAUCCAUUUUUCUAAGCUGCCGAGAACAGUAAAUUGUAAAGAUCUUGGAGAAUUGGAUGAAGAUUUCGAAAUGAAACCAGUUGGAGAUUAUUUGACAGCACGAUGAACUAGUAGCUUUGAAAAUUUCGAAAAGCUACAGGAAAUCAAAAACUAGAUUCAAGAUUUAGAGAAAUUGGCUAUAGAUUUGAGUAUAAAAUCUAUUGGAGAUUAUUCGCAACGAUAAGGGGAUGUCGUGACACCAAAAGUGUGACAAUCCACCACCAGAUUCCGGCGAUAUAGCCGAUGAAUAGUGACGGAAAUAAUAUUCUGUGAAUAGUGCCUAGAGAGAAGGCAGAGGAUUUUUUUUAUAGAGAGAAAGUCAUGAUUUUUAAUUAACUCUCUACAUGUGAAUAUCGUUUUUAUUGCUUUCUCUGUUGAUAUAUUUUUUAAAUUUAAAAGUAAUUUAACUUUAAAUUUUUCAUUUUAUCAAUUUUACCGUUAACAAGAAAUUUUUAUAACUAUAAAAAUGUCAUGGCCCCAUAAAGCUUUUACCGCUUAAGCUUUUAAGAAGACGAGUUUCAAAAGUCUUUUUUAAUUCCGGCGAUAUACCCGAUGAAUAGUGAUGGAAAUACUAUUCAGUGAAUAGUUCCUAGAGAGAAGGCAGAGGAUUUUAUCUCCCACAUUAUUUUGCUUGCCUUCUACACCAUAAAAAGGGCACAACCCCUUUCUCACUAACAUACCUUGAGUUCGAUACUAUUUCAGACAUUUUCAAUUACACAACUCACAGUUCAACACUUUUACACACAUAAUCUCGUAGCUCUUCUGAUUAUUUCCUUGCAAUUUGGAUAUACAAGACUGCUGCUUUCUUCUCUUAUUUCCCUGAAACCUGUAUGUUCUAAUUUAGUUUUUAGCCUCAUCCCAAUGUGUUCAUGUUACAGCUUCUACAAUCCUAUCUACGUUGCUAUUUAUGCUCAGCGUUAAAUAUGUGUGUUGUUCUCUUUGCAUAUGUUUCUGUUGUGCAUCGUUGUACCCCCUAUUCCCUUCUAUGUGUUUGAGUUAAAGUUCAGAACAUGGCAAAAUCCAAAUUGUUGCUCAUGUCUGGACUUGAUCUUUUAAGGGAUCGUAACUCCCAGACAAUGUGGCUAAUAGGGUUGUUGGGGUGUGCCAGCAUUUCCCAGAAUUCCCUCUUUGCACUUACACUUUCUACUAGCUUCUAUGUUCUACCCCCUCCUAUGAGCCUUGCUUUGGGACCUUGAGUUCCCUCUGAACUUGGAUAUUUGAGGGUUGGCUAUUCCAUACUGCACUAUGAUUCAAGUUUGCAAUAUAUUUGGGUGUGAGCACUGCCCGAAGUUUAUUUGAAACUCUUAGGGAACUCAAACACAUCCCAAAUAAGAGAAAAGUUUUGGAAUUUGAUUUUUGGCGAUUAGUUUAUUUCAUGUUUCACACAAGAAGUCUGAAAUAGGCUUUCCUUGGUUGUAGUUUUAGUUCUCUGAUGUAAUAUAAUUUUCUUAUUAAUUCUGGGUUGUAAUAAUAACUUGUAAUAACUAUUGGGGCUUUUAGUAAAUAGGGGAGGGUCAAUCAUGCAUGCAAAGGGGUAGACAUCAUGUUCAUAGGGAAUAUUUACACUUCUAUAGUCAUGUAUCCCGUUCUCAACUUCUGCUUUUGCAUCUCACAUAGGGACCAUGUAUAUAGGCUUCUUCAUUUUUUCAUAUCAUAUAGGAAGCAUUUAUAUAGGCUCAUGUAAUUCUGCAUUAUACAGAGACCAUGUUUAUAAGUCAUUUCUGAAAUGUUGCAUGCCAUAUAGUUAUUAUGCCUAUAGGACUUCCUGAAUUUUUGCAUCUACGUCUAUCACUAGGCAAACCUGCUCAUAGGUUUGAAUAAUAAACACCAUGCUAGAUAUUAUGCCUACAUGAAUUUCUGAAUUUUUGGAUAUGCAUCGACCACUAGGCAAACCUGUGUGUAGGUUUAAAUAAUAAACAACAUUCUAGAUACCAUGCCAAUAGGACUUCUAUUCUCUUAUUUCAACUAUAAAGUGUUUAAAAUCAACAAUGCCUAGAAAGCAUGCCUAUAGGAGCAACCAAUGAAAUCAGAAUCGUUCAUUUGCUUAUAAGUCUAAAAUCAGUCGUAACCGUAACGACUGUCGAAUUUAUAUUCCUGUAAUUGAUAGUUUCUUCUUUUCUGAAACUAGUAGAUAUCAUGUCUAUAGGUUUUUUUCAUUUGACACCUAGGCAAGCCAUAAGGUAACUUGUAAAUUGAAUCAGAUUUUAUCAAUUCCAACCAGCAGGCAGGCCUUACUCGGGCUUCUUAUCUGAAAUAUAUAAUAGAUUAGUCUUGAACAACCUUUAAAUUUCAUUAAGACCAUAACCUAUAUGUAUAAAGCAUGUUAAACAAUCUGUCUUUAAGCUGAGGAGGCUUGUUUGAGCCUUUAAUUAUUAUCUGUUUUCCCAUAUUUGCUCUACGUGUUUUAAUUGUCGCCUUAGAGUUUUAUCCUUUUAAAACCACAAAAAAUCCCAAAUCUCCCUUCCCUUUAGGACUAAUAGCCCCAAAUGCCUCCGGGGAUGAUAGGAUUGGGGACGAGUAAUAGCAUGCAAUAAGUAAAGUGAGACCAUUCCGCAUUAAUACCUUAACAGGGUGGGAAAUGGUAUAUAUGGAUAUGAUAAUCACGCGAUAACACCACGUGUAUAAACGAUUACCGGGUGUUGUGUGGGGUGAUCCGUAUUAUUUAUAAACCUAGGACCCCUCGCCCUUUACUUGUUUGUCUAUUCAGAAUUUCAAAGGAUAUUUUUCUCAAAUUCUAGCUUUCUUUGACUACUUUUAAUUUAAAUUUACUUGCAACAAUCAUGUGAAAUUUCUUCUCUUUUCUUUUACCCGUUUAUUUUGAGCUUCAAAAUUGCUUUUCUUCUUAAAUUUCAUCUUAUUUAACUUCGUUUUAACUUCAAAUUACUUGCAAUAAUUAUGUGAAAACCCCUCUCUCAUAUUUGUAACGCUUAUUUAUCUACUUGUUAUUUGAAAAUAAAGUCACAAUCAUAGUAUGCCGGGAACCACACUAGUGGAUAUUGAGGGGUGCCUAACACCUUCCCCUUGUGAUAAUUUCAAGCCCUUACCCAACAUAUGGUUUUCCAAAUAAAGUUCUUCUUUGUGUCCUAAUGCACUCAAUCAUUAGGUGGAGACUCUUCAAUUCAAACCCAAUCCCCAAAAGGAAAUGAGUUGUCCUCCCAAAUGUCAUAAACCCGAUUUCGCGAAAAAAGGGGGCUUGGUAACGUCCCGACUCCACUGGGAAUUUUCUCUAAAGCUUUUACCAUUUCAUGCUAUUUGUGACUUUAUGCUUUAUUUAUAUGACUUAUUUAAUGCCUUUGAGUGUUUAUCUCCUUCUUCUACAUCGAAACUAACUUGGGUCUUUGUCACUUUCUUUUAUAUCUCUUAAUGCUUUCUUUUAUCGCUUUCCUUUAAUACUGUUGUAAAUUAUGGAGAAACUGUUGUAAUUUUUACUUUAUGAACAUACAAAUAUAUGACAACUUGAUUUAAUUAUUUCAACUGUAUAUUCAACAUCAUAUUCCACUCGUGCCGAAAAAAAUACCAUAGCAACGCUUAUAAUGACUGGUUGCACCCUUCCGAUAUUAUCACCCCCUAAAUUCAGAAAAGGCAUAUUUGAAGUAAAACCAGUCGAUCAAUGGUGUAGUCAACGGUUCCAUGCCUUUCCAACUUGAGUUAUCCGCUCAAGGGUACACGUCUAAUACCAUAUAGAAACCCUUCUCCGUUUAGUUGUGCAUGCAUCAUGAUCAAACCUAGCCGAGUCAGUUAUGUUGUCCGAAUGAUGACUCUUUAAGAUAGCCUUGUCCAAAGUCCACCGGGUUUUCCCAAAACCAAAACGGAUGCUACUACAUUUCGUUCAUUUAUUUUGAGAAUUAAAUGCUUGUUAUGCCAAUUAUUGAUAUUUAAUAGUCGAGUCAAGAGGGGUAAAGGACCUAACACUCUUGUCUUGCAGAAAUAUGAGGAACGAAGUCCCCAGAUUCGGCAUUGUCACCAACAUCCAUCAAAAAUUGCUAAAUUGGUGGGAAGUUAUUCAUUUCAGUGAUCAGACCCUUGUCCAGAAAUACUUGGGAAAUUUUACCUUCCCUUACGGAAGUCCAAUCCAACAACAAAAUCAUAGAAGCCGCUACUUUAUUCUGGGAUUUUGAUAGGUCUAUGUUCCACUUCGGAGACAUUGAAAAAAUGACACCCCUGCUAGAGGAAAUAGGAGGACUGGAUGGUAUACUGUGGGGCACUCCGAAUCUAUUAAAACCAGAAAAUCACAAGGGUAGAAGUUUUCUCAAGAUGAUAGGUCUAAAGAAGACUCUUAACCUGCUUAAAGGAGUAUUACAUUCCAUUUUAUUAUUUGUACGACAGGUACGGUCUCAACAAAUCUUACUAAACUUAUCUUGAUGAGUUCUCCCUCACACCAUUAGGACAUAUCCAUCGGAGGGUCUUCAUCUUUAUGUUCUGCUUCUUGGGGAUGAUAGUGUUUCCCAUGAAGAAAGCAAGGAUCCAUACCUGACUAGCCAUGUUCACCAAAGCAUUAAUGGAUGGAAUUGGUGGGCAACCAUUUAGCAUAGUGACCAUGUUCAUCGCAGAAAUAUACCGAGCCUUGGAGAAGUGUCAACAGGGAGCCAAACACUUUGAGGAUUGCAACUUGUUACUCGAACUCUCCUUCAACUUGUUAUUCCAACUCUAACUCAUGGAGCACCUCCAAAAGGGUGAGUCUCGGCAAGAAUUCAGCAUAAGGACUAGGACGAUCAUAUAGCCUUCCAUUAGCCAAGGAGGAUGAACUACAUGCCCAACAAGUUUGCUUAGCCUGAAAAUGACAAAGGAUGGGUAGAACUGUUUGAAAAUCUAAAGGAGGACCAAGUACAAUGGAUCUUCGAAUAGUUCCCCACUGAUAAGUUCAUUGCCCGAUGUUAGGAUGCACCAUUUCUUAUACUUAUUGGUUUACGGGGAACUUACUCUUAUGUCCCUGUUUGAGACAAGCUUGUAGAAAGCCGGUUAUACCAAUGGUUGACAAGAUGAGUCACUUUCGGGCGAGUUUCAAGAUGAUGAUAUCCCUUACAAGUUCCAAGCUCAGCAUAUGUGGAACUACAAAAUCUUUAUCUGAAGGGACACUAGUGAGCCAUACCGAUACCAUGCUAGUUAUACUUCAUGCUAUCCCAGCUGGUAAGAAGACAAUCACAAUGGUCUGGGUCAACCCGAGCUUGCUCGAUGUGACAGGAUCAUCGAUGAAAAGUCUAAAGCGCAGUUCAAAUACAACCAAUUGCGUAAGAGGAUUGGGGAAUGCAAAAAUGAGCACUGUCAAAUUCAAGAAGCUAACCAAAAGCUGAUUGAAGAAUGGAAAGAUAAGGCUGUCAGCGCUAAUAAAUGACUGGGUUACUUGGAGCGGGGUUUCGUAGAGCAGGAAAGGAAAUUCAUUAGAAGGGUCGAGGAAUGCCAGAAUGCUAAGGGAAAUGAAGAUGAGCACCUAUCUAGAACCUACUUGCUGGUGGGACUUCACGAGUUGGUGCAGUUGUUUGAGGGAAUCAAAGAUGUCGAGUCAGGGACAUCUUGGAUGUAAUAAGACCAUUGACCACUAGUGACAUCUUUAUUUCCUAUUAUUCGGUGUCGUUUUGGGGUUUGUCUUAUUUUCUAUCAAUAAAAUAAGGCAUUUAUCAUUAUAAGCUCUCCAGAUCAAUUCGUCGCCAGGCCUACCUCGGGCACAAUGAGGCUCCCAAAUUAGGACACAAUUUACAUUCCUACACUAUGUGUUUAAAUGUCGCAGCAUCAUCUCUUAUAAUCCUUACUGACUUGUUACCUUUUUGUUCUUACUUUUGUUUGUUUCCCUCCCCAAAGGUUAGUUAAGGAGCCAUGGCAUCGUCAUCAUAUUCCAUAAGAUCCAAGGGCCCUCCACCCACUCCUCCUCAUAGUCCUAUCAGAAUAGGAACAAGGGAAAUAUGGAAGAUUUGAGCAACAUCAGAAAGGAAAACUCGGUAGAACGGGUAGAAAUCAUGUAGGGUACUCAGGGCUCCAGAAAAAUACGUCCCAACUCGAGCAUAAACUGUUGAAAUUUCAGGAAGAACAAGAUCAAGUGUGAAAUUUGGAAAGUCUGUCAUUUUCCCUCACCCCUCCAAAAGUUACAUUCCCUAAACCUCUGAAUCACAUACCUCCACAAAACCAUCCCGCUCCUCAACACCACUACAACACCUGCCACACUCCCAACAAUGCUCUACUCCUUAUCCUGGAACCUUUGAACUCUACAAAUGGUCACUGCCACGCCCAACACAACACCUCCAGCUACGUGGAGACUGUGCCACACUCCACCCAACAUAUCUCAAGCACACCCGAAUCUAAUGAUAAGGACUCUCUCAUCAGAAAUUUGCCGAAGAGCUUAAAAGGCUGACCACAAGAAUUCAAGGCGUUGAAGGUAGUAAGGGAAUUGAAGGGCUAAACUAUGAAGAUCUAUGCAUACAUCUCGAUGUCGAACUGCCCGAGGGGUACAAAUCUCCCAAGUUUGAAAUGUUCGAUAAUACAAGGGAUCCCAGGUUUGCUUGAGAACACACUGCGAUAAACUGGUCGUAGUAGGAAGAGACCAGAAAAUCCGCAUGAAGCUUUUCAUGAGGAGCUUUAAAGGAGACACUCCAUCUUGUUACAUUAGCCAAUACCCAAAGAAGUGGCCGAACUGGGUAAGUAUGGUGUCCGACUUCAUGGAUAGAUUCAGGUUCAACACAGAGAACGCGCCAGAUGAGUUCUAUAUCAAAAACAUGAAAAAGAAACCCACAAAAACCUUCCGCGAAUAUACUACUCGCUGGAGGUCGGAAGCUGCUAACGUCAGACCAGCCUUAGAGGAAGAACAAAUGAACAAGUAUUUUGUCAAGGCUCGAUGUGAAGUCCUAUGAAAAUUUCAACUCAAAACCCAAAUCUCGUAGUGUCUAGCAAGGGCCAAGUGUUAGAAACUUAGAAAAUUUGCAUUUUGGACCCUUAGAGCUGAUCUAUGCAUUUAAAAAUCAAGAAUCAAACUUUUCCAGAAAAGUGCAAAUAUGUUAUCUAGAAUGCGAUCACAUAUUAGGUAUGCGAACCAUUUUUCUACCGCAGAGUGAGUCAGUGUGUUAGCUAAUUUGAGGUUGAAGAUGCGGUCCAUUACGCGAUCGCAUAACCGAUAUGCGGACGGCAUAGUCGUCCCAUAAUUCCCUAAGGGAUUUUGUGAAGGUUAGUUCUGUAGUGCAUUAUGCGACUGUAUAAUGGGUAUGCAGACCAUAUUUACGUCGUAUACUCAAAAAGAAUGUCCAGAUUUUAGGUGCCUUUUUGCAGUUUAAUCUGCGGCCCGCAUUUCCACUUUGCGAUUGCAAAUCUGACUCGGGGCUCCAAUUUUUUCUAUUUUUAACCAACCCCAUCUAUCUUUAUAUUUGGUAUUAUAGCUCAUUUUUAGAAUUUUAUGAGCAUUUCUAGAGUAAGAGAGAGGGGUCUUAGAGAGGGAAAGUUCUCCCCAUCAAAUUACUCUAAUAAAUCUUGCUAAAUCCUUGAAGAUAAUCAAGUGAAGGCAUCUAAAUCUUCACCCUAAGAGGUAAGGCUUCAUCACCUCAGUUCUUAUUUCUACACUCAGCUAUAAGGGGGUCAGUAGUGAGGAAAUUCAUGGGUAUAAGAAUUGAUUUGAAUGUAUAUCAAGACUUAGGGUAUUGGGAAAUAGUAAACUAAAAAGGAAACAAUUGGAGUAUACAAUGAUAGAUAUCUCUCUCAAAAAUGGGCCUAAGAUCAUAAUGCACCUCUAGUAUUUGAUAUUAUGCUUGAACCAAGCUAGAAUCAUAGCCUCGUCUCUAAUUCUCGGUUUAUUUUGUAAUUCAUGCAUCAUAGAUCGAAGUGAUAAGAUUUACAAAAAUUUGUAAAGAGUAAGGAAAGCUAUAUUGAGGUAUGUAUGGCUAAAACCCCCUUUUUAUUAGAAAUUAAGCUCAGUUGGCGUUAUGAAAGUGCAGUAAGAUUUGAAUUGAUUACUGUAUUUGUGCAUAAGAAUUGAUUUCUUUGCAUGCCUAUCAAAACUUAGGGUAUUGAGAAAUAGUAAACUAAAAAGGAAACGUUUGGGGUAUAAAAUGAUAGAAAUCUCUCUCGAAAAGGGCCCUAAGAUCAUAAUGCACCUCUAGUGUUCGAUAUUAUGCUUGAACCAAGUUGGAAUAUCAACCUUGUCUCUAAUUAUCGGUUUAAUUUAUAAUUCAUGCAUCAUAUAUUGAAGUGAUAAGAAUUUCAAAAAUUUGUAAAUAGUAAGGUAGGCUAUGCUGAGGUAUGUAUGGCUAAAACCCUCCUUUGAUUAGAAAUUGAGCUCUGUUGGCGUUACGAAAGUGUGGUAAGAUUUGAAUUGGUUAAUGUAUUGGUUGUUAUUGUGCGUUAAUGGAUUUAUAAUUAUACACGCAUAUACAUGAAGAAUGUGCCUCAAUGAUAGUAAUGUGCCAUUCCUGAUAUUUAAGGAUGUGAUGAAUACAAUUGUGAGUUGAAAUGCUUAGGCUAUAAGUCAAGAUUGAUAUUGAGAAUUUAUCCAUGCUGGUUAUGUGCUCACUUACCUGUGCUUGCAACUUGAAUUAACUUUGUAUCUGCCUAUGAUCACAACUUGCAAGAUGAAUAUUGAAAAUGGAAAACGAUGUGAUGAUGGUGGCCCUUAGUUCCUAGGAAUUGAUAUGAUAUAUGUGAAAUAAAGAUUCUGAUGUGAUGACUAAUGGGAAAGGAAGAACACCUAGGUUAGGUGGCCUAGCCGAUGGGGUCGUGAUCGGACACCAUACCAUACACAUAGUGGUAAUGUGCUAAUAUUAAAUCCUGAAUAAGGGAAAUAAAAUAGUGAUUGAGAUAUAUGCCUCCAAUGAGGCAACCUAGACGGUCUGGCUGUGAUCGAACUCCGCUCAAUAGCGGUGGUAUUGAGAAUAGUGAUGAGCAUACGAUAAAAAAAGUCCCAAACUAAGUUAUGGAAAUUAGUUGAAAAAUAAUAGGAUUUGCAUACUUGAUUUACGCAUGAAACUUGCUUGAUAGUUCAUUCUCGUAAAAUAGUAUUUAGUUAUACAUGCUAGUACUAUUCUGUGGUACUAAAUUCCCUUUUGCCGGGGGCUCUACUUUUUUAAAUGAAUGUAGGUGGCUCCAUAGAGGAUAGUGCCGAUCGUGUGUAGUGGAGCAUCCUUCUUCACAAUGUCUUGGUGUGCUCCUUUCUUCUCCAAGGGGUUAUACUGUGUACCUUUUGUUAUUGUGGACGUCCACUUUUGAGGUAUAGACGGGGCCUUGUUUUCGGCAUUGUUGUACUUAUCUUUUGUACCCUUACAGGCUCUGUAGACACAUGUGUGGGUUAUGUACGGGUAUUUGGGGAGUUUAGUAGCUAUGUUGUAAUUCUGCACUCAGGUAUAAAUUGUAAUUCGAUUAGAAUCUUUGAAGCUAACUUAUCUACUGUUUAAUGUGGAGAUGUGAAAUGAACUAAAGAUGUUAAAUAUACUAUCUUUCCUUUCUAAACAAACGAAAUCAUGGUUUCCUUAUUCAUAUUAUGUUGGGUUUGAAGUUUUUGACAAGGCUUGCUCAGUUAGGUUCACUCGAUUGAGCAUCGGUCGCGCCGUCCAAGGUGGAGCGUGACAAACUUUGUAUUAGAGCCUAAGGUUUUAAAGUGUCCUAGGAUGUCUCGGAGCCAUUUCUGGUAGAGUCCUUCUUAUCAGUGUGUAGUCGAUCACAUUUAUGAGUUUAAGGCUACUUGGGCAUGUAGGAAUAACAUCCUUCUUUGAUAUUAAGGAUUGUGCGAUGAAACUGUUUCCUUCCUAACUAAUGCAUUGUUCUAUCUUUCAGUAAAAGGCAAUGUCACUCCAGGAGUGGCUGAUGAUUUAUUUCUAAAUUUUGCGGGUGAGGGUAGUCGCCCUACUAUUACUCUGACGCAUCCUUCUAUUUCAAAGUAGACUACCCAGUUCCUAACCCUACGGAGGGUACCACUAUCCCUCCCAUUGAUAACCUUGUCCCUCCUCCAGCCGUAGCUUCAGGUUUUGGUAUUCCGGAUGGGGAUCUUAGGACAGCUAUUCAGAUACUGACCUAGUUAGUGGCCUCUCAGUCCCAGAGGACAAAUAUUAUGCCUAAUUCAUCCAGCCAGUAAGGGGAUUGUACUAGUUUUAGGGUAAAUAGAUUCCUUCAAUUGGACCUAUUGGUACCUACGGGUGCCAAUCCGGAAGAAGACCCCCAGGAUUUCAUUGCUAAGAUGCACAAGACCAUCAGAGUGAUGCGUGCAACUAAGACAAAGGGGGUGGAGUUGGAUUCCUACCGUUUGAAAGGGGAGGCCUAUUUGUGGUUUUAGUUGUGUGAUAAUCAAGUGAGGAGGGGCUUCCUAAAGCGAAGUGGAGUGAGUUUGUAGACGCCUUUAUAGAUCAUUUCCUGCCCGUUAAGAUAAGGGAAGCCUAUGCAGCAGAGUUUGAAAAUUUGAGGUAAGUUAUUAGAAGUGUGUGGGAGGACCACAUGGAGUUUGUUCGCUUAUCAAAGUAUUCCAUUCAUAUGUUUCCAACAAUGGAUGUCAGGGUCGCCCGUUUUUCCAGGGACAUAAUUCUUUUACCAUUGAUAAGGUUUCUACGGUUGCACCAAAUUAAGAUAUGAAUUGUGGGAAGAAGGUAGCCUUUGCUCAAUCCACAGAUAAUUGCAAGUUGAAGAACAGAAAGGAGAGAGAGAGGGUAACACUAAGGCCCAGUCUACGAGCAACAUGGGAAAGUCACUAGGAGGGGUGGAAUAUCAGCUUUCAAGGGAGGAUCAUCAGGGCCUUCCCAGUCUGUUGCAUUGUCUUCAGCCAUUACACUGCCAUCAGGGCCCAUCCAGUUGCAGUGGAGUUAUUUCAUGCCCGGUCAGUGCAACAGUGAAUCCCAUUAGCGAGGUCGGUCAGAGGUUUCAGCAGCAGUAGAGGUCCAUGUGAUCUGGUGUUACAACCCAUAUUCAUGUAUGUUUGCUCAUGCCAUAUGUAGUCAACAUAAAUCCAAUAAGGAAUUAUAUUUGAAAGGAUAAGAAGUUAAUCCUAUUGGUCUUAAGUCAUACAAGGGUGUAUAAGGGUGAUUAACAAGAUUUAGACGUUAAACGAAUCAAGGAUGUUGUAACUAGUAUUUUCAGGAAAACCUACAGGUACUUAAUAUCCGUAUCAUAUGUCUUGAAGUCAAAACUGUUAUGAAACAAAAGUCGACAAAAGUGGUCGCAACUUAGGUUCAUAAUUUUACUUAAACAUUAGGUCAAAUAUUUCUAAGCUUUUCUCACAAUUUACGAGGAAUUACAGGGUGAUCUACCCACCAAAUUAAUGUUCUAUGAGUCUUGUUUUCAAUUUAUCUAAUCGUUUAUUGAUAUGAUCUUGGAGUAGAGAGAUAUUUGCGUUUUUACAAGACUGGGCCAAACACCUCUCUAUGGGGCCCACUUAGGAAGUUUAAGACAUUUGGAUCUAUAUAGGACACCUCCAACACAUUUUAAGUCAUUUUCUUUCACUAUAUGCAGACCUUAAAACCCUAGUUCUCUCCCAAUUCAAGACCCAAACAAAGGGCAAACGACACAAAUCAAGUGUCUGGAAUCCCGUGGCACUAGUAAGUUUCUUUUUCUUCUUGUUGUUGCUCAUUUUUGUGUUUUUCCAGCUCAUUUGGGAGGUUUUUUUAAGGGAUUUAUGUUCUUUAAAUACUCCCUCAAGAUCGUAAUAUCAACCCUAGGUGAUUUCAAGCCUUCUAAAGUGAUUCUAGUGUCGGAAAACACUAAUUGAUUGCUUGUUUCGCUUUGUUGUUGUUGUGGCAGCAUUGCAGGGAUAUUUCACAAAAAUUAAAUUAAAGUGAAGAUUUUUUUUUUAAAGGUAAGGAACCUCUUACUCUAUAUAUAUUUAAGAUUAUUCAAGUUGCGGCUAAGUCAUUGAAGCUAGAACUUGUGAAAUAUAUAUCGAAAGGCUUGGUAGUAAUGUUAUUGUUUGGUGGACUAUUUUGGGAGGUUCAAUAUAUGUUUUGGGAGGUUAAAUAUGAUUAACAUUGAUGUUGUUUGGGCCGUUUGGUGAUUUUUAUUACUUGUGGGAAGUCAUAUAAAUAGGGGAGUUUCUGUUCGUUUAAUCGUAAAAUAGGUUGUGGUCGAUACAUAAUACUUAUGACGCUUAAAUGGUAACGAUAGUAUCGUUUCUCUUAUUGUAGACUAAGGAGUCGUGAUAAUUGAAUAGCUUGAGGUUGGGCAGUGUAUACAAGGUAUGUGAGGCUAUUCUUUUCCUUCUUUUGCACGACUCCUAUUGUGCAUAAUGUAAAGAACGAGCUUCCGAAGAUACUCUACUAUUAGAAGCUAGCAGUGAUUACAUUGUUUCCCCUCUUAUAAAAAGAUUGAUGUUGAUGUUGCCUCUCUUUUUCUUAUCUUAUCUAUAUUGUUGGUACUUCAUAAUUCUUAUAAGGUUCAUGGUGAAGAGUUAGUCCCAAUAACGUGUAUAGAGGAUACCGACCUUACACCACUCCGAAAGGUUUAUAAUGUGAUUCCAUGGGUCAAGCAUGCAUUAUAUAUUUGUAUCUAUUUUACUCUAUCGAGCCACACUAUAUUCAACUGGGUACGGCACCUAUUGUGCAACUACUGAUCACUUGGGUUUUACCGAGCUCCACGUGGCCGGGUAUGAUUUUACCGAGCCAUAUGAUAGGCGGGUACGUUUUUACCGAGCUUAUUACUGUCGGGUACGAUAUGAUGAUGAUGAUGCAAUAUAAGAGUAUGUUUUAAAAGUUUAUGUAUAUAUACAUAUGUAUCGUGCAUUGCAUGUCGGUAGCUCUCAGAGGUACCCAAUGUUAUAGGCUGUAUAUUCUCUAUCCCUAAUUACAUUACUAUUUGUACUUACGGUUCCAUGCCUUACAUACUGAGUACUUUAUUCGUACUGACAUCCUUUUGUUUGUGGAUGCUGCAUGUCGUGCUGCAGGUCCUGAUAGAAAAGUAGGUGCAGCUCCCACACCAUAGAAGGCUGUCCAGCUCAGCGGUGAUUGGCAAGAUCCCAUCUCUGGACUUGCCGCGGUCUUGUUAUGCUUUUUUGUUAUAAACAUUAUGGGUAUGUCAGGGCCAUGUUUUGGCUAUGUUGCAGAACUUAUGUUCCUUUAGAGUCUCAUAGACAGGUGCCAACUCAUGUAUAGUUUAGUAUGUUUUGUCGGUUGAUUUUUGUUGUAUAGUCUUUCAUGGUAGUAUGGUAGCUCGUACCAUAUAUAUAUAGUUUCUUGGUUGUCUGGUCAUCCCAUGUUAUAUAUGUUCAUGCCUUAAUGUUUUAUUGUUGGUUUUCCAUGAUCCAUGUCUAGCAUUUAUAUUGAUCUCGCCAACCCUAAAAUAUAAUAAAUAAGGUUAGAUAAAAUGUACGUUGGUGCUCAACAAGUAUGGACGGGUGAUAGUCAUAGUCCUCCAGUUUGGGGUGACAAACUUGGUAUCAGAGCAAGUGUAUCCUUGGGGUUGUCUAUGAACCUUGUCUAGUAAAGUGUUGAUUAUGG
RNAcentral lists this long non-coding RNA (85405 nucleotides) under Nicotiana benthamiana. RNAcentral describes it as "long non-coding RNA (NBEN_LNC028918)". The record is from RNAcentral. Lineage: Eukaryota; Viridiplantae; Streptophyta; Magnoliopsida; Solanales; Solanaceae.